CCAACCUACUUCAGACCCAAAAAAGAAAAAGCACACUUGCCGAUCUACGUAAGUUAAAAGAGGACCAAAAUAUUAGUAAAUUCCGAAAAGUUUUCAGAUGCGCCGGCGCCGUGGAGGUAGUCGGAGAUUAUCUCUUCGGAUAGGGCCCGUCGGCGGGCGACAAGACGCCGACGGGACGGCGGUGUGAGGUGGCGGGGCUCGGAGGCCUUCUUGAAGAGGCCCUUUGCGCCUCUUCGGGUAGGCCACGAUUCCCUCGGCCGAAGAGAUAAUCUCUGACUACUUCCGCGGCGGCGGCGGCGGCGACGGCGACGUGGUGCCGCCGAUGGGUGUGACUGGAUUGAGGUUGAGUGGGAUUCUUGCGCGACGAAGGAGGACGUGGAGUCCCUGAUCGGCGAAGUAUGACCCCGUUCGUGAAUUAGUACGCAAAGAAAUUGGAAAGAUCUGGGAAGAAUUCGUCUGCGAUGAUCGGUGCUGGUGAAGAUUCCGGAGCUGUGUUUGGUUGUAAUUCUGAAAUUUCGGCCGAUCAAGAGAUGGGUUCCGUUUUUGAGAGCUUCAAAGCUCGUUGCCAGGCUCUAUUCGUGGACUUGCGUUGGAGAUGGCGACGGCUUCUUGACUUCGCCGGAUAACUUGGCCAUCGGCGGUGGAAGCUCGGGAGAGGAGUCGACGCUCUGCGAUGAAGGCUAUGGAUAUAAUCCCGACCACUUUCUUACACUUGAAGAUUUGGAUGUUCUUCUGUGAUGUAAAUGUGAAAUGCAUGUGAUUGUUCUUAUUAAACUGCACCGUACAGAAUACAUGGAGUGGGUCGUGUUCAAAUUUAUCUCUUUUCGGAUGAGAAAAGCAUCAUUUAGUCAGUUGUUUCGUGGCUGAAGUUGGGGAUAGAGAGGAUUUAUGAUUUCAGUGGUAUUUCUCUUUUGCUAGAUUGUGAAAGAGACUAGCUUUUAUUUAGACUGUCUCAGUAUGGGGAUGAAUUGACUGUCAGGGGUGAUGAAUGGCGGUGCCAGUGAAUGCGAAGCUUUCCACUGUCUGUGGAGUACUAUUGCUCUUUAGAUCGGAUAGUUUAUGCAACUAAUUAUCUGUUCAUUGAUGACUUCUGUGGGGAAACCUCAGAAAAUAGUUUUAGAGAUGUGGUUUUUAAACUGAACUUACAACUGUGAUGCACGUCUUGAGGGAACAUCAGACAGUUUGUGCUUCAUAUCUUUCGGGUAGUAGGAAAAAGGUAAAAUUUCUGAAGGAACACAAUUAAAAGCAGUGAUUUGCAAGUCCUGUUAUAUGCAGUUCCUUUCGUAUCCUUCUCAAUGGACUUUGGUAUUGACAAAUAACUGGGAGAAUAUUGUUCGCUUGCCUUGCCUUUAUCAUAAUUAUCUAUACUCCUGUAAGCAUCUUAAUGACGAAGAUCAUCAUAUACUUUACCAUGCCAUCAGUUGCUCAUUACGCUUUUAAGGGGUCUGUCUUUCAAGGGAUCAACCCAGUUCCAUCAUCAAAGGCAUUGUAUUGGAAGGCAGAUUGCAGUGCCUGUAUGUUGCAGAUGAUAAAGUGACUGUAUUGGAGUCAAAGAAAUGGGCUUGGGAGAAUCUGCUAGAAGCUCAGGCUAUCAGAGAAGCUGUAAAUCCUUGGAGAAAUCAUGAUGCAGAAGCAAAAAAGAAUUCAUAGUGCCACCAUUGUUGAGUUUGUACCUGGUAUAAUUUCUUCUCAAACGCUCUCAUUCAACAAGGAGAGAACCUUUCUGUAAACCAUGCUCUUGAUGGAGAAGUUUGAUAACAUUCAAAACAAAUAGGUCUAGGUGGUGGAGCUAUUUUGCUUAACUCCUUUUAGUUAAUGUGUAAUCCAUGUAUUUAUGAGACAUUUUGGCAAUAGGUCUUAAUACCUCUGGCUAUUAGACUUGUGCAUUGUAAUUGAUGGGAUGAUCACACAUUAGUUUAUUGGAUUAUGUUUUAUUCCUUUUGCCCUUAUGAGUUGGCAAAGAGUACCUAAAAUUGGAUGACCAUAUGUACUGAUGCUGGAAGCUGUGACUGUAGACCCGUUAAACGGGUGGGUCGGGUCGGGUUUGGGUCGGGUCAUAAAUGGUCCGACCCAAAGCGACCCAUUUAACCCGUUUAUAACCCAUUUAUUGCAGUGCAAAUUUUUUGACCCAUACCUGACCCGACCUAUACCCAACCUAUACCCGACCCAUUUAACAAAACAUAAAAAAGCUUAUAUAUAUAUUAAAAUGGUAUUGCUAACAUGAUUUUAUGCAAUAUAAAUUUUAAAAAUAAUUAUUUAAAAAAUCGAAUUUUAAUUAUUUUUUAUUUUUAAAAAAAUUAUUUUUAAAUUAUUUUUUAUUUUUAAAAAAUUAAAUUUUUAAUUAUUUUUAAUUUUUAAUUUUCUUUUUUCUUUUUCUUCUUCCUCUUCUUUGGCCGGCCGCCGGCCACAACGACGGCCGGCGACCGGCCACAGGCGAGCUGGCUCGCCCGGCUCGCCGACGCCGGCGAGCCUCGAGCUCGCCCCUCGCCAGAUCUGGCGAGGCUCGGGCCUCAGCGGACGUCGGCGAGCUCGAGCCUCGCCGGACGUCGGCGAGGCCUUCGCCUCGCCAGAUCUGGCGAGCUCGAGGCUCGCCCCUCGCCAGAUCUGACGAGGCUCGAGCCUCGCCCGACGCCGACGAGUUCACGUCUCGCCAGAUCGGCGAGGCUCGAGCCUCGCCGGGCGUCGGCGAGGCCUCCGCCUGGCCAGAUCCGGCGAACUCGAGGUCGCCCGACGCCGGCGAGCUCGAGGCUCGCCUGGCCGGUCGCCGGCCAUCACCGUGCCGACGACCGGAGUUAGAAGAAAGAAAGAAAAAAAAAAAGGAAAGAAAAAAUAAUUAUAGUUUUGAUUUUUAUAAAAAACAAUUGUAAAAUUAAAGAGAAGAAAGAGAGAUAAUGAGGUUUUGAGUGAAAAAUGGGUUGAUAAAUGGGUCAUAAACGGAUCAGAGAGCUACCCGUUUAAAACCCAUAUAUCUUAGUGUUUACCCAUUAAAACUUAUUAUGGGUGCUUUAUAAGAUCAAGCUUGACCCAUUAAUGACCCAUUUAAUCAUAAAUGAGUCCAUAAAUGGGUUGUGCAACCCAUUUAACACAUCUACCAAAAGAGAAGCGGAAAAAGUCGAAAUGAAAAGAAUUGGCAGGAACGGGCGAAGGAGGAGCAAGAAAGAGAUGGAGGGUCCUCACACAGAAGCCGGUCUUGAUCAUGAACAACUCCAUGGAGCCUCCGACGAGGGCCGAGAAGACCGCGAUCUUCGCAUACCAAUCAAGAAACUUCACCGCCAUAUCGAAAGCUGCCGCUCAAGCUUUCCGCGGCAGCGGCUGGAAGACGGGAAAACGAAAGAAGGGUCGGUAAGAAAGAAAGAAGGAAUAGAUAACUUCACGUAGAGAGAGGAGAUCCAUCGAGGCCCAUCAUCGGCCAACGCAGCCCGACCAUUUCCCCUCUAAAGAAAGCUCCCUUAGCUGUUGGGGCAGGAAUUUGGGCCUUUGGCCACUUUUAGGGCAGCUCGUUGCAUCAAGAUGCAAUCUUUUCUUCUUCUUUUCUCGUUGCGUCAACGAGGGCCGAUGCCUUAUUACAGAGGGUCGAAGGUGAGCAUAAGAACUUCAUCCCGAGCGAAUCUGCUCCAUGUCGUGCUGUGGAUGGCUAGGAAUCAGACCUUCUGAGGGAGAAACCGAUACGGCAAGAGCUGGUCACGGCAUGCAUAAGCUCUUCUAGGAGUAUUUCCGCUCGGUGAUGAAAUUUGAUGCUCGAUCUGAUCUACAUUUAGGACGGAGAUUUGAGCUCGACGAUCCCGGAACUGCUAGAGUUUCGGCAAAUUUCAUUGAGCACUUCUCAGCAACUAGCAAGCAGAGUCCAUGUCUAUGUUGAAGGUGACAGCUCAUCUGUCAUUGAGCCUCUGAUCAAUCUGGAAACACCUCCUGGUUGGAAGUGGGAGAUUCUUGAACUUAGUAAAAUUGAGAAGAUUUUGGCAAGAUCAAGUGCUGGGGACUCAAUUCAACUCCAUAAUUAAUCUUAUCUCGUAAAAUCUUGCCCACCCAAUAUCCAACAGUCACACUUACCCUUUUUCGCUUAUCCCUUUUUGCGGUGAAAUAAAAUGACUGUACCUGAGGUCGUGUCAUUAAAGCACUGAAGAAGCAACCCUUUCGACCACAAAUCCAUAGAACGCUGAACAAGCACCCUAAGGGUCGCAACACCAGGGACUAGCCUAUUCCGAACGUGAAGGCGUCUAAAAUCAGUCCUGCAUGGCAUCUACUGAGCACAAAGAGGACUUCAACAUCGGUGCAAGUUCUGGGGACUGGCAUCUACUUUCUUGUCCCUGUCAGUAAGCUGCAUCCUAGAUUCAGAUCUCAUAUGAGACUGGUGGGAUUAUCCACCAAUGCAACUCAGGAAGGACAUAGCGGCAAUUCAACCGCCACUAUCAAGCUAAGCAUAUGCAAAUAUUAUUGGAUAUACUUCCAUUCUUUGAACCAUUUACUUUUCUUAUUAGAUAUUAUUGUUCAGGAUCUCGAUCAUGAUCAUAUCUAAUGGACGCUCAUGAGGUACCAUUCGCAGUGAAAUAAGCCCAAGGACUAAUAGCCUCAAAGCCCUCUUCCCAUUGCAGUCCUUGAACCCCUGGUACCACUUCUUUUUCCUCUCUAAACUCGAAUGAAAAAAGUGAAAAGAAACAGUGGUCCGCCAACAGAACCAUAAGUGAACACAAAACUUAUCAGCAAGCAUCAUAGAAGUAGGUUAUGCAUAUCAAUGGCCACAGCAAAUGCAAAUACGGAGGACAAUGUUGCUGCUUCGACAGGGUUGGGUUUCAUCUAGUUCAGAAAAGCUUUCCACCUUAUUGUGUGAGACCACAAGUCAACAUGCACUCCUUUUAUGGAAACUAAUCGCAUUGAAAUUGCAAUAUGCAAAUUGAAAAUUUAGGCUCAGACAAGUCAGGAUUUUUUAACUUAUUUUUCAGAUCAAUGACCGCAGACAGGGUCAGUCCAAGUGAAUCCAGGGGAUUCAGUCACACUAAUUUACCCAAAUAAUUUGGACUUUCACCUUGCACAUUGCAUAUACCAUUGAGAUAUUUCGCAUAAAAGGAUACAAUAGUAUACUUGGUAGUCUCUACGUUGUAAAUACAGCAUAAACAGAGGAGUUGCCGUAAAGAUUCAUCGGAGCCAUUAUUAACAUGAAUAGAAUCAAAUUGGAUAUGACAUUACACUACUGAGCAUUGAGGACCAUUCUGAAGGGUGUGAGGAGGCGAUUGUUAUCUGGCUCAUUGUUGUAACAUUCACAACAUUGGCAUAAGUUCCUGUUAAUAAAUCCAGCCUCAUCAUCGAAUUGAUUUGUCAUUGCAAUUAGGAACUUCUGACUAGGAGGCAGGCAAGAAUUGUAGAAGAACUACGUAUAGCUUACCUGCAUUUCCUUUUGUCUUUGAGCAUAACGCUGCAUGUUUACUCUUGGACUCCAGAUCAGCUAACAGCUCCGCCAGAUUCGUCAUCGUUCAAUUCACUUCUUCAUCUAGUCUUGUGAUUUUUCAGUCUACUUUAACAAGGACCAGGCCUUCACUCUCUCCUUUCCUCCCAUUACGCCAUUCAAAAUCUUAUGGCAGUUUUUUAAAAUUGCCCAAUGUCCUUUUUGAUAUGCAAAUUAUGAGUCUAAACAUUCACAGCCAGAUUUAUUGCAGGGGAGAAAGAAAUUAAGGGACUAAGUUUUUUGCAUAUGCUUCUGAAGCCGCGCCGGCACACUAUCUGGUUUUCGUGUUGGCAACGUCGCUUGAGAAUCGUGAUCAUUCUUCCACGUGGAUUACUGCUCGAACAAGUUCGCUUCCAUACAAACUUCUUGUGUUGACAUUCGAUCUUCAGUUAGUAUAUUCAAUGUUCAUAACUCAUAAUGCGUCAUGUCAUGUAUCUGAUCAUCUUGUUGGUUUGACAAGAUAUCAGAUUUUGGCUUGAUUGAGAUUAUGUCUUCCUGUAGUUUCUAAAGUACCCUCUAAAAUUAGAAAAAAAAAAAAAAAAGACUAAAUUCCACAGAUCAAGAAAGUGAAGGAAAGAAACAGAGAGAGCCAAUGUCAUUAAACCAGUGAACUGGAAAAAGAGAUAUUGAAUUCUGUACAAUGCAGUUUAACAAGAAAAACCACUUAUGUUCACAUUUGCAUCAAAGAAUGACAUCCAGAUCUUCAAGUGUAAGAAAGUGGUCGGGAUUAUAUCUAUAGACCUCGAGGUCGCAAUGCAUUGGCUCCUCUACCGAGCUUCCUCCACGGAUGGCUGAGUUUUCCCGCAAAGCCAAGAAACUGUCACGGUUACCGUCACCGAAACAGUCCUCCAAGAGACUACGAAUCUCGGCAGGACAAAAUCCACACCCCUCAAGGUCACAGUGCAUCGGCUCCUCUCCCAAGCUUCCUCCGCCGAUGCCUGGGUUCUUCGGAAAAGUGAAGAAAAUGUCAAGGUCACCAUCGCCGAUGCAGUCCUUGAACGGACUAAGAAAUUCAUCAGGAUUAAAUCCACACCCCUUGAGGUCGCAGAGCAUCGGCUCCUCUCCCGAGCUUCCACCCCCCAUGGCCGAGUUCUCCGGUAUAGUCGAGAAACUGUCAUGGUGACCGUCACCGACGCAAUCCCCGGACACACUAAGGAAGUUGUCCGGAUUACAUCCACGCCCCUCAAGAUGGGAGCAGGUUGGGGUGGAGCCCACUCCCAAACCCCCACCGCCGGCGGCCGACUUCUCCGGCGAUGUCAAGAAAAGGUCGCCAUCGCCCAAAUUUUCAGAAUCACAACCAAACCCGUCUCCAGAAUCGCCACCAGAACCGAUCACGACGGACGAACCCUUCUCCAGAUCUUCCAACUUCUCGCCCACAAGAUCACGAACGGCGUCGUACUUCGCGAUCAGGGACUCCACGUCCUCCUCCGUCGCGCAAGAAUCCCACUCCUUCUCAAUCCACUCCGCCCACUCGGUCAAACCCAUCGGCGGCUCGACGUGGUCGGCAAUUACGUCAUCUUCCACGAAGGGGUCGCUGAAGAAAGAAUAGGGCUUGCCGGCGGGGGAGAAGACAAUGACGGCGGCGCGAGCGCCGCAGAGGCGGCAGAGCUCGGAGGCCUUCUUGAAGAGGCCCUUGCGCCUCUUCGAGUAAGUCACGAGCCGCGCGGCCGGGUCGGCGAUCUUGGCGAUCUCCGUUCGCCGGCGCUUACCCAUUACCGAUGGAUUUCGCGAAAAUUCUUCGACGAAUUGCAGGAUUCUUGGGUUUCCGAAGAAGAGCUUUCGUGGGUUUUUCUGGGUUUCUUGUAGAGAGAGAGAGAGAGAAAUGAAGUUUGAAGUUGCAGAGGAGGCGGGCGGGGGAAAGGAGCCGAACGGGAAGAUCUACUUAUAUAGCCAUCGUGGGGCCCUUUCGAGAACUUUCUGAAUUCUGAUUUUCGGUCCUCUAGAUUUCUGUAGAUUUUCAAAUUGGCCCCACAAACAGUUUAUUUGUGUCGAUUAAGUACUCUUAAGUUUUCAUAAUUUGUGUAAUUGGUGGUUUGUCCAAUGGAUUCCUUUUACCAUUGACACGGUGCGGUAAUUAAUUGAAUUAGAUAAGUGAAGACGUCCCUUCAAAUUAUAAAAUUUAAUUUUUAAAUUAGAUAAGUAAUGACAUUGCAUUAAAUCAUGAAAUUUAAUUUAACAUGAGAUAAGGAAAAAAAUAAAGGAAAAAAGAAUAAAUCGAGAGGUUAAACGAGAGAAGCUCGUCGCCAUGAAGAUUUCAUUGAAGGUUUUUUAUUUAUUUAUAAAUUCCAUUUAAUAACAUUUAUUCUAUGAUAUUUUUUUUCUUUUUACUAUCGUCAAAUACUUGAAAACAGAAAAAACUUUGUAUAAAAAAUAUGAAGAAGCUAUACUGUAAGUAAUUCAUUAAGUUGCAACAUUUGAUUAAAGGAAUAUUUUUUUUUUAAGAGAAAGGACACCUUAAUUGAAAAUAUAAUACCCGAUUAGAAUAUUUGCUCAAAUGUAUAGACUAUAACAACGCGUAAUACUAUAUUUUUCCUCCUCCCAUGGAUCAAUAUGCUAUGUUAGGCAUCAUCAUGAAGUAAACAAAGUAGAUAAAAGUUAAACCACCUAAAUAUCUAAAUAUCAGGUAAUAACAACCUCAUCUGACUAGAGUAAAAAAGAAUUAUAUUAUACACUCCCAUUACAAUCCAACAAAAAAAAUUGACACCAAAUAGUUACGUGUAUAGGUUAAGUGAUAUAUUUUCCUCUAACUAGUUAUAAAUUGUGGACAUCACUCACAUGCAAAGUAAACAAAAUAUUAAUAGAAGUGAUGUCUAUGGUUGUAACCCAUCAAUCAACUUACAUAAUUCACCAGCAUUUAACUUUUUCUACAUAAUACAAAAGCACAAGGACAGUAUUAAGACCAAUGAUAAAAUCUGAAUUCAAUUCUAUGUUUUAGACCUAGUAGGAUUUUGGCACAAAUAUGAAUAGUAUAAAUUUUAGAUAUAUCCAUGAACUUAAUAAAUCUCAGUUGCUAGAUUUUCGAACCUCACAUGGAAUCCACAUGAUCAAGGCAAUUGCAAACUCCACCCUACACACUCUCUUGCAAUCAAGCAUUUGAUUUUCACAAAGAAGGGCAACAAAUGUUUACACGUGUGUUGUGUGUGUUAAAGUUCUACAAUAGAUUUUUUUUUUUAUCGAUUUUACUAUAUUCUUAUUCUAACACUUAUUCUUAAACUUUUGCCUUUGUUUUGUGUAAAGCGUUUGAGUUGAAAUCUACAUCUAAAAUUAAAUCAUUGUCACCCCCAUUUGCCUCUAAGAAAGUAAGGAUUCGAACUUAUCAUAGUCUCGGUGGUUCUAAGAUAAAUGUUUGACCAGGUGAGUUUUUGGCAAAAUUUCGGUCCAUCAACGAAGAAGAUGGGCUUGCAGGAGAAAAACAGGCACAAUUACCGUACGGGUUCAAUCCGCAGGGAGUGCAAUAAAGGGCGCGUUUGAUAACGUUUCUGUUCAAAAAUUGUUCCAGGGAACAGAAAUAGAAAAAACCAUUUAUGUUCCGGGGAACAAUUUUUGACCAGAAAAACGCGUUUGGUAAACUUGUUUCGGGAAUAAAAAAUGAAAAGAAACACGUUUGGUAAAUUUAUAUUCUUUUUUUGUUUCUUUUAAUUUUUUAAUAUUUUUAUUUUAUUUUUCCUUUUUUCCUUUCUUUUUUCUUUUUUCUUUUUUCUUUUUUUCUUCUUUUGGCUGGUCGUUGGCCUUCGGCGACCGGCCGACGGGGGCCGGUAGCCUCGCCCAAAUCUGGCGAGGCCGAGUGUUGCCGACCCUCGACGGCCGGUUGCCGGCCAUGGUCGAGGCCGGUGACCGGCCAGAGAAAAAAGAAGAAGAAAAGAAGAAGAAAAAAAAAAGAGAAGAAAAGAAAGAGAGAUAAUUGUUCUUGAAGAAGUGUUUCUGGAACAAAAAAGUAACUUUUUUUUGUUUUUUUUUUUUUCGUUUCAAUUUUGUUUCGAGAACAAAAAAACAGUUUUUGAAAAAAACGCAAACAAACAUAUAUAUAUAUAUAUAUAUUUAUUUCCGGAAAAAGAAAACAAAAAAAGAACAAAAAAAAAAAAGAACAUUACCACACAGGGCCAAACUUUCCAAAUCAAAGUGCGAAAAACUCCACAGAAUUCGCAGCACGACCCAAUAUAAUAACCUCAUAAAUUUUCGGAAUGCGAUGGACUUUCCAACCCGAACCGACAUCCACGUCAGGUCACCGAGAGUCCAAGGGACGCGUGCACGUGGCGCGUUUGGCAAGGGUUAGCUUCGUCUCGUUGCAGUCCAGUUGCAGGGGUAAAAAACGCCCUUUAUUUUUUUCUCCAUGGUGCUGAUGCGACAUGAUAUGAUGAGAUGAGAUGAGAUGAGAUGAGAAUGAGGGGUGGGGCGCUUUUAUCAUCCGCGACGACCCAGGACCUUUCACCCCCACGCGACCCAUCGCGCACUCUUUCCUGGCAAUUACGACUAAGACCCGCAUCGUCUGCGCUUCAACGGGUGCUGGGAAAAAACAAUCCGCCGGCGGGAUGCGCCGCCCUUUUCGCGAUGACGAUCGUCAGGUGGUCUUUCGCCGGCCGACCUCGGCAUCGACCGUGCUCGGUAUGGGGCUGCCCGGCCUCUCAGUAACGACCAUUUCUUUUUUUUUGUUGUCGAAAAACCGGCCCGUCGGGCAUCGCCGGAGGACGGCAACUCGACCGGAGAAAAAAAGGGGAAGACGCGAUUGCGGCAUGGGGACCCUCGGACAAACUUCUCUCGUAUUCUCAUCCACCUCGCCGGACAAGAGCCGUCUCUCCCUCACUCAUCUCGCCUCGCUGCUCUCUUUGACUCUCGCUCUCUCGGUCGCCUCCGGCCUCGUCGAUCGCUCUCAACUCUCACGCCUCUCUCUCUCUCUCUCUCUCUCGCUCGCAGCUCGAUCUCGCAGUCUGCAAUUGUAAGUCCUCCCCUGAAAAUCGUCCAUUUGGUCGAUUUCGAUUUGGCGCUUUCACCUUGUUGGGUAGGAACUUCCUCGAAAGUUAAAGCUCACUCGGUGUUACAUUCUAGCCGCCGGAGUGGAAUUGCCUCUCUGGGUUCAUCUCGCUUUGUAAUUACCCGAGUCGGAUCGACGAAAGAUUUCGCAGUAAAGCCGUAGUUUUAGGGCAGGUUCCUUUAUGAGCAAGCUGCGACGGUGCGUGCGGGGAAAAAAAGGCAAUGAUGAGUGGCCUCGGAUCUUUAUAUAACCCGUGUUUUGCUGUCGCUUGCUGUGUGCUUGAUGCUCCUAUGUUGAUUGUCUGCUGAAUUUGUGUGGGUUGCUGGGCUUGAGGAUAAGUAACCGAGUGAAUGGUUUAUGUGACUAGUUGUCUGCUGAGUUCUAUGAGUUCUUGAGCGUAACUACAUGUUUUUAUUGUAAAUCGUUGGUUUUGUUGGGGACAUUUACACCGGUUCCAUGGACCCACCCAUGAGCAGCGCCGGACCGGUUCCCAUUUUGUGGAAACCGGCCCUCAGUGGGCUUUUCCGGGUUCUAGGGUGGGGACCGUCCAUCCUGAAACCGAUCAUACCUUCCAGCAUUUCCGUCUUAGGUGACAAUAUCCAGCGUAAUUUUUCUUUCUUUGAUUUCUUCUGCUUUUUGCUGCUAUCCAUCGUCGAUUUCUGUGCAUGCUGUUGUGUCUGCCUGUGAAAGCUUUCGUCUUUUCUUUCUUUAGGAAGAUAUCUUUGUAUGCUGCAUUUUCUGGGCUAUCCGAGAAUUUCUGUGCGUGGACUUAUAGAGGUGUGCUGUUGUGACUUUCAUUUGGUUAUUUUCUAGUUGUGAAAAAUGGGUAGUGUGUAGGUCGAGUGGUGACUUGACCUUAUUCAAAAGCAGAGAGUCACGUUGAAUUCAAAAUUUCAAAGAGUAACUCACUCUUUUUUAAUCUGCUUUCAACAGCCGUUUCCCAAAGACAGAGAGGUCUCUCUCUACUUUGAGUUGCAUUGCUUGCGAGCAGAAGAGUGUCCUCACUUUCCUCCAUGGCCAACAAUCCUUCACAGCUCCUCCCGUCAGGUCUGUAGGAUGUUUUAAUUCAUGUCUGUUUUUUCCUUAAUUUUCCAAGAUUCGCAGAAAUAUCUGGGGUGGGUGGGGCAUUUCCACUUAUGUUCAUCUUGCACUAAUGAAAUAUGCAGAGUUGAUUGACCGUUGUAUAGGUUCAAAAAUCUGGGUUAUAAUGAAGGGAGACAAGGAGCUUGUCGGUACUCUUAGGGGCUUCGAUGUGUACGUCAACAUGGUCCUCGAGGAUGUCACUGAGUAGUAUGUAUCUCUCUCUCUCUCUCAAAUUUACUUGUGCUUCAAGAUGCUUCUCGCAUUACUUCAGGUGAAGGGAAGCGAUUAUAUGUUCUUGACAUCAAUUUAUUAUCUGAACGGGCAAAUGACCUCAAUUUGUAUGCAUUAGCAUCAGAAGUUAUCAAAUCCGUGGUUUAUGAGGCCUCUCUGUCCUUAACUUGAUCUUAUGCUUCUAACUGAGAAUCGCUACUUGCACAAGCACACGCAAUAUGGCCUUGCCCAACAUCCAACCCAUCCCCCCUUUUUCUUUUCUCUCACUCCACUUUUUAUUGAGCUUGUAGAUGUAAACUGUGGAAGCUUCAUGUGAUUGUAAGAUUCUGUUUUCAUUCCUGCAUACAGUGAAAUAACUUCUGAAGGACGAAGGAUAACAAAGCUCGAUCAGAUUUUGCUUAACGGAAACAACAUAGCUAUCGUCGGAGACAACUUCUUCCUUCUGCUGAUAUAGAUAUGGCUAUCUGUUUUGAGCCGUUGCAUCGAUAAGGAUGUGGUCUUGCCUAAAGUUUUGGUUAUCUACUAACCAGUAAGCAACAAUCGCCUUAACAUAACAGAAACAAUCAGCCACUCAGAGAGAUUCCUUCCAAUAUGUAGACUGAAAAUGCUUAGACGAUAUAUUGAUGAAUUUUUAUUGGUCUUGAUUUUGUGGUAAAAGAGUCAUCAUUCCCUAUUCUUUACAAGAAUCUGGUCCUUUGUCUCAAUCAAACUUGUGUCCACCUCUUGAUAAAUAUAAAGCGUCAGUUGUGUGGCAGUUAUGUUAUUUUUUUUUUUUUUGGUCGAAAGGCAGUUAUGUUAUUGAAAAGCUAGAAUUCUGCUUUGAAGUGCUUGAACCACUCAAGUGAUGAUGCCUUCCUUUUUUUCUUAAUGCAGUUAGUCCCUGGUGGCUCCCCUGAUCUGGAAUGAGUUGGAUUCAUCCUCUAACCUCAGCAGUAGAUUAUGUAGUUACUUUAGUUGUUGGAAAUCCCAUCAGCAACAUCAUUUGAUUUUAUAACCCUCUUUUUUUGGGUUUAUGAAUCUGCAACCUUAGUUAAAUGAGCUCUAAUUAAAUUGAGCUCAUGUAUGAAUGUCUGAUGCAAAUAGCUCAAUGGAUGGUGCAUGAUCACAUCACCUUAUUAUCCAAUAUCUAUGUUUUGCUCAACUAGAGGGCAUGGCAGUUGUUGUUUUGCUUGGUGCAAGUUGUUCCUAGGAUUCAUCUUCUGGUACAUUGUCAUUGAAGAAAUUGUCUUGGCUUGUUUUAGUGUUCUGCAGCUUUUGGUCGUUGACUGCAUAACAACAUCUGUAUUUGCCCCCCCCCCCCCUCUUCUCUCUCUCUCUCUCUGUGAAAACGCAUGCACUUCUUUGAGCGUUAGGGAUGUGGAUCCGCUUUCCUGCACCAUACUCCCAUGUGUGUCUCAACAUAUGUCGGCUUUUGAUGCUUACUUCAUUCACAUGUGUCAACGGUUGAGAAGCGUUUUAAGGGUUACAGCAUGAACGGGAGCCCUAUGGUUGUUGAGUAUCUUCAUCCAAAAUAUGCUAUCUUCUAGGUGGCCUGCAAUUUGACUACCCUUUCUGUGUGAUGGUACAUUGUCAAUCUAAAUGCAGAAGUUCGAUACCGGAAUCAUACUGCAUAAUGAAGUAGAUAUUUUCAAGCAAAAAGCAACAAGUACAUAAGCAGAAUUCUAUGAUCUUUUCCAAAGUGGAUACUGGGAACACAUCAGGCCUAAGAUGUGCACUGUACUGCCUACAGCUAGAUAAAUAAUGGGCAUAUUUUGCUCCAAGUGAUCUCAAUUUUCCACCCAAGUAGCUGUAGUUGCUGCACGUCACGAAAAGAUCCAAGCUCAAAGCAAACUCAUUUGAUUUGACUAUAACUGAUUUUUGUCAUUUGUGUUUUCAAAGAGGUUGGCUAUUUGGGUGGAGCCUGUUUCUUGUUAUUGCGGUAGCAGUUCAGAGCUCACGAGGUGUGAUAUUGCUUGCGGAGUUUGGUUAGAGUGACAAGAUCAAUAGGCUGGAAAUAAAGGUGCUGAAGAUUCACCAUAGGCCUCGUCUUCUUUUUCGCUUGUUUUAAUGUAUAUUCACUGCUCCAAACGAGCUUGACUUGAAGCAUGUAAAAUUAGGGAUAUUUGCGGAGAACUUUGUCUAGGCAUGCAUGCAUUUUUCUUAUUGGAAGCUUUAUGAGCCAUUGAAUCUCAUUAUCAUGAACAAGGUUGCAGUUCCAUUCCGAUUUUGAUUACUUCAAACGCAUGGUCCAUGCGUCAUUGAUUCUCAAUGAAUGCCGUGUGUUAGAAUUCUCCAAAGUUGUAUCUAACGUCAAAUACCUAACAUGAUAUUUUGUUCUAAGACACUAACGAUAAAAGACAGCUCGUUCUGAGUAUCUAGAUAUGUUCUGAGUAUCUAGAUAUUUUCUCGUGACGGGUACGGUUCUUUUUCAUUCUUUCACUCAUUUCGACAUAACAUAUGGUGCUUUGGUUUGGGAAAGCAAAUGUAACUCAGUAAUAGGAAGAUUAAUCUGUGAUUAGUCAUAAGAGGGGAUCAUGAUUGUUCCUGGAUAUGAUAGAAACUCCCGGAGUGGUCAUUUAGUUAAUUUCAUUGUGGAAACCAAAUAGAAGAAGAAUUAAGUAUGCAGGGGAUGAGUGGAAGAAGAAUUAACCAAUUCAAUUAGGAGUGAUCUUAGUUAUAUGGUGUUUCCUUGACUAGUUCUUACUCAUAGAGUUAGUCUACACAAAAAGCAGUUUGAUUUGGCUUUAGGCUAUUAUUCUAGUUGCAAUUUGAUUUGGCAAAUAAAAUGCAUACAUUGCAAUCAAUCCUACAGAAUUUAUCAUGACAUAUCCUCCUGGAUCAAUGCCUCUGCCUGCCAAUUUGCAUUGCCGUUCUCCUAAAAAUCAUGAAAGGCCUGCAAUAGGAAGUUCCAUCCAAAAUUGCAUAGGUCCUUUAAUUCAUCCUGAAAUUGCAUUCCUCUUGAAAUGGAAAUCCUAGAUUCAAUGUUAAGACAAAGUUCCAUCCAAAAUUGGAUAGUGAUAUUCCAAAUGAAUCACAUUAGGCUAGUGAUACUUGCUGAACAAUUUGUAAAAAUCACAUUGAUUAAGAGUGAAAAUCACUAGAUUUCAAUUUGUAGUGAUCGAGAAAUCAAUCUCUAACUCUUAGCCUCUAUUCUGGCCUUCUUAAUAAAAGUAUGGCUAGUAUGAAUGUCGAGAUUUGAUUUUAUCAUUUUAUUUCUCUUUCGGGCUAAUUUAGAUAAUCGCUUGAUGAUCAUGCAUUAAAAAAUGAUGUCGCGAGUCCGAUUUCAAUGGGAUCCUGUUCCUGACCUUGUUUUCCAGGUGGGUCGGUCCGGUUCCUAAAUAUACCCGAUCCGGUUGCACACUCCUAGUUAAUAUUUUCUAAUUUAACUAAAUGGAAAGUACGGAAGUGUUGUAUACAUGUGGUUUUUGCAUUGCACCAAAAUAGAAUCAUUAGAUUAGGAAUUGCAUGAGAUUGGUCAAUGUGAUAUUUAUGGACGCCAGCAAUCUAAAGCCUAUGAUCCCUGUGCCUCGUUUUAUCAUGACAUUAACAUUAGCUACCACUCUUAGAAAGACAGAAAAAAAAAAAAAGACAGUUACAGCGUAUGGGCGGUGCAAGAGGCCUGAAACAUCACGGGAUUAGAAGGGCGAAGUCAGUCCACGAAGACUUGGACUGACAAUAGUCCAUGAUGAGCCAGCAUUGCUCCAAGAAGGAAUCAAACCAAAGAUUGACCCAAGUAUAAGGCACACGCUAAAGCAUUGACGGGUCUUCUUUUCCACGCUAGGAUCCGUCUUCUUUUUCUUUGCUAUAUUGCUUUUCUUUUCAUUAUCAAUUUGCUUUUUUGAUAAGAUUUUCCUUGGAUCCUCAGGGACGUUUGAGGUCUCUAGUCAGUUAAUUAUUUUGAUAGUUGAUUGAUUGGUGGCCACCGCUUGAUCAAGGAUUUUUUUUUUUUUUUUUUUUGGCCUAGCAGCACUUGAGAAGUAGGGCCUCUGAACUUUUUUCCAUGUCUGAAUUGUCUCCCAAAGAAAAGAUCAAGUGAUAUCAACGAAGGGGAGGCAAUGCUUGUUUUAUUCAUCAUUGUUCUAGCUUGUGAAAAGCUUAUGAUAUCGUACAUAUCAACGUUUUAUGAGUGACUUUUAUUGGUUAAAAAACGGUCGAUAAUGCAACUUACCUUAGUUAUUGUUGAGUUAGUAUUGUGAAUCUUCAGUUGUGAAGUAGCUAUUUUUUAUCAUAAAACAUAAAAAUUUUAGUUAUCAAGCGAAAUGUGGUAUACAUAUAGUUUUGCCUUGCAUUGAAAUCAAAUCAUUACAUUAAAAAUCGCAUUAUCUACCACUCUCCAAAGAAAAUAAAUAAAUAAAAGAAUAGCGUACCGGUAAGGGCAAAGUCAAAGUCUACGAAGACUUGGACUACCAACAGUCCAUGAUGAACCAGCUUUGCUCAGGAAGGAAUCACAUCAAUGAUUCAUUCAUUUGGUACUUUGUCCCUCACAUACGGGCAUUCAUGAACGUGGAGAUUCUAUCAAAAAGAAGGGAAAAAAAUGUCACUAGAUCACUUUGUCAAAUCCAACACCGACUCAUUGUUCUCCCAUUCACCCGCAAAAUUUACAUGGCAAUAAAUCGAUUUCCAAUUCUCAUAUUCAUUGAUAAUUUCAUUACACGAUUUCCUCCGAUUCUAUAAUUUCAUAUGAGAUUUGAAAAUCAAAUAAGAACAACCUCUAAGGAUGUCUUUAUGUCACUGAGAUUUUUUUUUUUUUUUGUGUGACCGGAAAAUGCUUUUAGCAAAUUCAAUUUCAGAGAAAGGGAAUCGGAAAAUUUUGAUUAUGGUGAAAACAAGUUGAAAAAGACUGAUUUUAUUGUAAUUGGUAAUAAGUGAAUCCACUAAAUGUAACUUGUAUCAUUAAAAGUAACAUGGAAUGACUAAUAAACUAGAAUUGAUAUCUUCUUCAUUUAUUCUAUAAUCCAUCAAAAUAACAUUGAUUACAAAGAAAAUAAGAUUGAAAUUAUGAAAUCAUAUUUGUAAAAUAUUAGAUAUAAUCGUGCUUUGGGAAUGUAGAAAAAUUGAGCAUCAAUAAAGUAUAGUCUUCUCACUUCAAAGCUUAGCAAGAAAACAAGGGUAAUGAUUCCUUCUUGCCAAGUCAUUUUUCUCUAGGCUUAUUGUUUUUAGGAUUAAUACCGCGAAGAAUCUCAAACUAGUAUAUCCGUGAUAAAUUUAUUCAAAAUUAAUUUUUUGAUCACCAAAAACUCAAAACUGGCAAAUUUGUGAUAAAUUUAUUCUCCAUUAAUUUCCGUUAAAUUGAAUAAAUAAUAAGAACAAACACAAACCGGUACACAUGUGAUAAAUAAAAAAUAAAACCCCAAACUAAUAGAGUGGUCAAUUGUAAAAAUUUGAUGUGGCUGUAUGUUUUGAGGCCUCUCUGCCCUCAACUUGAUCUAUGCUUCUAACUGAGAAAUGCUACUUGCACAAGCACACGCAAUAUGGCCUUGCCCAACAUCCAACCCACCCCACCCCACCCCCUCCCCCUUUUUCUUUUCUCUCACUCCACCUUUUAUAUAGGUUGUAGAUGUAAACUGUGGAAGCUUCAUGUGAUUGUAAGUUUCUGUUUUCAUUCUUGCAUACAGUGAAAUCACUUCUGAAGGACGAAGGAUAACAAAGCUCGAUCAGAUUUUGCUUAACGGAAACAACAUAGCUAUCGUAAGAAACAACUUCUUCCUUCUGCUGAUAUUGAUGUGGCUAUAUGUUUUGAGCCCUUGCAUCGAUAAGGAUGUGGUCUUGCCUAAAGUUUUGGUGAUCUACUAACUAGUAAGCAAUCGCCUUAACAUAACAGAAACAAUCAGCCACUCAGAGAGAUUCCUUCCAAUAUGUAGACUGAAAAUGCUUUGACGAUAUACUGAUGAAUUUUUAUUGGUCUUGAUUUUGUGGUAAAAGAGUCAUCAUUCCCUAUUCUUUACAAGAAUCUGGUCUUUUGUCUCAAUCAACCUUGUGUCCACCUCUUGAUAAAUAUAAAGCGUCAGUUGUGUGGCAGUUAUGUUAUUGAAAAGCUAGAAUUCUGCUUUGAAGUGCUUGAACCACUCAAGUGAUGAUGCCUUCCUUUUUUUCUUAAUGCAGUUAGUCCCUGGUGGCUCCCCUGAUCUGGAAUGAGUUGGAUUCAUCCUCUAACCUCAGCAGUAGAUUAUGUAGUUACUUUAGUUGUUGGAAAUCCCAUCAGCAACAUCAUUUGAUUUUAUAACCCUCUUUUUUUGGGUUUAUGAAUCUGCAACCUUAGUUAAAUGAGCUCUAAUUAAAUUGAGCUCAUGUAUGAAUGUCUGAUGCAAAUAGCUCAACGGAUGGUGCAUGAUCACAUCACCUUAUUAUCCAAUAUCUAUGUUUUGCUCAACUAGAGGGCAUGUCAGUUGUUGUUUUGCUUGGUGCAAGUUGUUCCUAGGAUUCAUCUUCAGGUACAUUGUCAUUGAAGAACCUGUCUUGGCUUGUUUUAGUGUUCUGCAGCUUUUGGUCGUUGACUGCAUAACGACGUCUGUAUUCCUCCCCCCCCUCGCCCCUCUCUCUCUCUCUCUCUGUCUGUGAAAACACAUCCCUCUCUCUCUCUCUCUCUCUGUGUGAAAACACAUGCACUUUGAGCGUUAGGGAUGUGGAUCCUCUUUCCUGCACCAUACUCACAUGUGUGUCUCAACAUAUGUCAGCUUUUGAUGCUUACCUCAUCCGCACGCGUCAACAGUUGGGAAGCGUUUUAAGGGUUAUACAGCACGAACGGGAGCCCUAUGGUUGUUGAGUAUCUUCAUCCAAAAUAUGCUAUCUUCUAGGUGGCCUGCUAUUUGGCUACCCUUUCUGUGUGAUGGUACAUUGUCAAUCUAAAUGCAGAAGUGUGUUCCCAGUAUCCACUUUGGAAAAGAUCAUAGAAUUCCGCUUAUGUACUUGUUGCUUUUUGCUUGAAAAGAUUAUACUUCAUUAUGCAGUAUGAUUCUGGUAUCGUCACAUCAGGCCUAAGAUGUGCACUGUACUGCCUACAGCUAGAUAAAUAAUGGGCGUAUUUUGCUCCAAGUGAUCUCAAUUUUCCACCCAAGUAGCUGUAUUUGCUGCACGUCACGAAAAGAUCCAAGCUCAAAGCAAAUUCAUUUGAUUUGACUAUAACUGGUUUUUGUCGUUUGUGUUUUCAAAGAGGUUGGCUAUUUGGGUGGAGCCUGUUUCUUGUUAUUGCGGUAGCAGUUCAGAGCUCACGAGGUGUGAUAUUGCUUGCGGAGUUUGGUUAAGAGUGACAAGAUCUAAAUAGGCUGGAAAUAAAGGAGCUGAAGAUUCACCAUAGGCCUCGUCUUCUCUUUCGCUUGUUUUAAUGUAUAUUCACUGCUCCAAACGAGCUUGACUUGAAGCAUGUAAAAUUAGGGAUAUUUGCGGAGAACUUUGUCUAGGCAUAGAUGCAUUUUUCUUAUUGGAAGCUUUAUGGGCCAUUGAAUCUCAUUAUCAUGAACAAGGUUGCAGUUCCAUUCCGAUUUUGAUUAGUUCAAACGCAUGGUCCAUGCUUCAUUGAUUCUCAAUGAAUGCCAUGUGUCAGAAUUCUCCAAAGUUGGAUCUAACGUCAAAUGCCUACCAUGAUAUUUUGUUCUAAGACACUAACGAUAAAAGAUAGCUUGUUCUGAGUAUCUAGAUAUUUUCCUGUGACUGGUACGGUUAUUUUUCAUUCUUUCACCCAUUUCGACAUAACAUAUGGUGCUUUGGUUUGGGAAAGCAGUUGUAACUCAGUAAUAGGAAGAUUAAUGUGUAAUUCGUCAUAAGAGGGGAUCGUGAUUGUCCCUAGAUAUGAUAGAACUCUCGAAGGGGUCAUUUAAUUAAUUUCAUUUCAUUGUGGAAACCAAAUGGAAGAAGAAUUGAGUAUGCAGGAUGAGUGGAAGAAGAAUUGACCAAUUCAAUUAGGAGUGAUUUCAGGUUAUAUGGUAUUUCCUUGACUAGUUCUUACUCACAGAGUUAGUCUACACAAAAAGCAGUUUGAUUUGACUUCAGGCUAUUAUUCCAGUUUGAUUCGGCAAAUAAAAUGCAUACAUUGCAAUCAAUCCUACAUAAUUUAUCAUGACAAAUCCUCCUGGAUCAAUGCCUCUACCUGCCAAUUUGCAUUGCCAUUCUCCUAAAAAUCAUGAAAGGCCUGCAGUAGGAAGUUCCAUCCAAAAUUGCAUCGGUCCUUUAAUUCAUCCUGAAAUUGCAUUCCUCUGGAAAUGGAAAUCCUAGAUUCAAUGUUAAGACAAAGUUCCAUCCAAAAUUGGAUAGCAAUAUUGCAAAUGAAUCACAUUAGGCUAGUGAUACUUGCUGAACAAUGUGUAAAAAUCGCAUUGAUUAAGAGUGAAAAUCACUAGAUUUCAAUCUGGAGUAGUGAUCGAGAAAUCAAACUCUAACUCUUAGCCUCUAUUUUGGCCUUCUUAACAAAAGUAUGGCUAGUAUGAAUGUCGAGACUUGAUUUUAUCAUUUUAUUUCUCUUUUGGGAAAAUUCAGAGAAUCGAUUCAUGAUCAUGCAUUCAAAGUGGUGUUGCGACUUCGGUUUUAACAGGAACCUGUUCCCAACCUUGUUUCUAAUGUACCAAUGUGGAGGAAAUUAAAACAAAUAGGCAAUCUUCUCCAUGGGAGGUUUGGAAACUCGGCACAUUAUGGAGUUGGUUGAACAAACUUGGCAAAUUUCUGCGAAAGAAAAGAGAAUGGACACCUGCCUUGUCGAGUACUUUUUUUAUCUGAUAAGAAGUGCUUCCCAUUCUGUUUAUAUAAAUCUUUUUUUUUUUCUGCAAAUACCCUUGUUCAGAUCUUCUUUGUUUUGGUUUGGUUUGGUUCAUAUGGUUCAAUGGCUUGAUUUGCUAAAGGUGAGGUCAAAUUAUAUAAAUUUCAAGUGCAUUAUUUUGUCAAUAUAUUAUGUGGUGAUUUAUCUGAGAUACCUUAUAAUUUGCUACUUUGUCUUACUGUAUUUGAAAUUGGUCAAUGCCCUAGUGUGCUUCUUUCAUGACAUUCCUUGGUCCCGGGUGUCUUCCUGUGGUUUUCUAGUGUUACAAGAAGUCGUGUCCAUCUUGGACAUCUACAAUGUCCUCCCACGCUUUUUUAUUUUAUUAAAUAGGACAAACUGAAGGAAAAGACUGACCCAUUCAAUGACUUUCGCAAUCACCCUCACUGAACCAACUUGAAUAUGAACUACGAUUAUUUGGAUUUCCUUUGCAUGCCAUGUGCACUUAGACUUGACUUUUUCCCCUUUUUUCUUCCCUGUCCAAUAUUUGUUCGUUUCUGUGUAAAAUUUUUCGCUUUCUUCAUGCAGGAGAAUGUCAACUUCAUUAUACCGUAUACGUCAAAGUAGCCAUUACAAUGUGUGUGAAAGUAUCUCAGCACUUAUGGCAUCACCUCUACAACAACAACCGACACAAAAUUGCGACAUGAAGAAGAUGGAUACCCUACAUCGGUAAACGCAUUUCCAAUUUGUUUUUUGGGUAAAGCAUGGCUCUUAAGUUGGAUUCAUAGAAUUUGAAGAGGAGGCGUUCCAAUUCUUAAUUAUACUAAAAAAUGUUUCCAGCUGCAAAUGGACUUGGUCUAACAUUAUCUAACUUGAAGGUAAAUCUGAAAUAAUGACCCAAAUUGUUUAAUUUUUUUUUUUUGGUCAAGACCCAAAUUGUUUAAUUUCAAAUUAAUAGAAGUGUGGCAAAUAUUUUUCCAAUUCUCAAAAUUUAACGUUGAAUAGUCUCACGUCCGCAAGUUCUUAUAUUUGCACCUAUUUUUUGACCUUUUGUAAUAGAUAACCCACAAGAAUUAAUUGAGAGAGUGAAGAGACAAACCUUCGAAAACAUUAUUUGAAAUAGAGAACUUAGUCAACAUUUUUUUAAUCAUUAUAGUCAUUGGAGAGGUUUCACUAAACUUUUGCCAAUCAUCAUAGAGGCUUCGAGUACAAUUGUGAAUGUGGAAAUGCUAAUUGAGUUAAAUUCCAAAUGAGAUGUAAUAGGUCACAUCAUGUUUGUGAGCUUAUUUACCACACUUGUUAGUGGCUCAAAGUUUUAAUACGAUUACACAUUGGUUUUGUGUACCUUGUUUUAGUAAUGUUUUGUAUAAUAAUCAGCACGAUGCAUGGAUUUAAUGCCCGAUUGCAAUGCCUUGUGCGAAGCAAUGUAUUGAUCACUAGGGAGUGCUUUGACGAAGAUCAAGCCCGACAAUUCCACCAGGCUUUGUUUUUCAGAGUUAAUUCGGGCCUGGGCCCAAUCAGCCCAUUAAACUGGACGGACCGGAGUUCACCUUAAUUAGGAUGGGGAAACGAACUUGUUUUGGAAGUUCCAUGUCUGCUUUUGUUGACUUUACUUUGAAUGAAUUAUUUAGGGGCAAAAGUAGAUUCUCAUCCGAAAAUUUCUACACCACAUAGUCCAGUGAUUUUCCACGCUAAGAAGCAUAGUAUUUGUCACCUUUGACAGGCUGCAAUGAUGCUGCAAGGAAGCAUCCUUAUUGACCGAUUUUGCAGCAAAACUGGCCCACGAUUGUCUGCAUAUUAUGGGGUAAAGGAACAAAGGUCUCAAUAAUUAAGGCCCACAUAUAUACAAGAAGUGUUUAUUUUCCUUUAAAAAAAGUAAGAGUUAGGCAGUGGGAUCCCACGUAUUUUCUCCUCUUCAUGAGCUUUUAAGCCAAAGGAGCAAGCUGAAUUUGGAUUCAAAUGGAUGUAGUCUGAUUUCAAAAAAAAUUGUGACAAAAGUUUCGUUUUACUAAAACAAAAGUUUGGUGGAGUGAUAACGAAAGCUAAAGCUAUCGGAGAACAACUUCGAUCUUCCAUCAAUCUCAAUUCAAGAAAUUUGAUACUUCCCAAUAGUCUUCUUUUUAAUUCAUCGAGUAAUCGUGAUUUAAUAACUUCAAUCUUAAUAUUUUUUUUCAUGCUAGGAUUUUUACAUGAAAAGACUUCAGAACUUAUGAAUUAUGAAAUGGAAGAAUUUUACACUUCUAAAUCUAGCAAGAUUUUUUUUUUUCUAUCGCGAAACAUGGAAUGUUUAGUUACCACAAAAUCUAUUCAAAAAACAGAAAAAUACUUGCAAAGAAACACCAUCUGUCCAGAAAAGCUUUUUUCUUAAAUAAUUUAGUCAAUCAUGUCAUCAAUUAAUAAAAAAGUUGGAACGAUCUAAUUUAAUUAAAUGGAAAUGGAAUAUGUCGUAUACAUAUAAUUUUGCAUUGCAUCAAAAUACAUUCACUAGAUUAAGAAUUGGGUGAGAUCUAUCGAUGUGAAUUUGAUAAGGAUGCCAACAAACUAAAACCUAAGCUUCAUGUGCCUUGUCUUAACGUGGCAUUAGCAUUAGCUCCCACUCUCGGAAAAAGAGAAAAAAAAUCAGACAGAACAGCAUACGGGCAAUGCAAGAAGACUGAAACCAAUGAUUGAACCAAGUCAAAGUCUACGAAGACUUGGACUACCAACAGUCCAUGAUGAACCGGCUUGCUCAAGAAGGAAUCACACCAAUGGUUGACCCAAGUCAAAGUCUACGAAGACUUGGAUUACCAAAGGCACGCGCUCAAGCAUUGGCGAGACUUCUUUUCCACAUCAGGAUGACCCCAUCUUCUUUUUCUUUGCUGUACUGCUUUAUUUCUUUUCACUAUUCACUUUGCUUUUCAACAAGAGUUUCCCUUGGAUUCGUCAAGGCAAUUUCGCCGUGAAUAACUAUUGAGGUCCCAAUGGGUUAAUUGCAACGAGAAUUUUGUAAAAUAACAUGCAUUCAACAUUUUACAAAACAGAUGACAUUUUAAUUACAACUGCUAACAAUAUGUGGAUUUUUUUUUUUUUAAUGUUGUUAAAAAUAUGUGCACUUUUACUCAAUAAGCACGAACUCUUCAUCAUUGAAGUUUAACCAAUAAAUCUAGGUUAUUUACAAGUAAUUUAAAUAAGUAUACUAAAAUUGACACAUUAAGUGAUAUGAUCAAAUCAUGAUUUAAUAUUUAGCAAGUGAAUAAAUAGAUUUGUGAAAAUAGAUUCUACUCAAAUGGGAAUUCGAUACUUCCCAAGAGUGUUUUUUUUUUUUUUACUCAUCAAGUCAAUUUGAUUAAUAACUUCAAUCUUAAGUGUUGUUUUUGAUCACACUCGGAUUUCGGCCUGAAAAGAGUUAAGAAACUUAUGAAUUUUGGAAUGGAACAUUUUUAUACCUUCAGAUCUAGUGGGAAAACAUGGAAUGUAUAAUAACCACAAAAUUGAUUUAGAAAAAAAAAAAUUGCAAAAAAAACACUAUUUGUUUAGAAAUAUUUUGAUUUUUAAAUAGUCUAACCAAUUGUAUCAUCAAUUAAUAAAAAAGUUAAUACCGUCUAAUUUAACUAAAUGGAAAGUAUGAAAGUGUUGUAUACAUGUGGUUUUUGCAUUUGCACCGAAAUACAAUCAUUAGAUUAGGAAUUGCAUGAGAUUGGUCAAUGUGAUAUUGAUACGGACGCCAACAAUCUAAAACCUAAGCUCCCUGUUAACAUGGUAUUAACAUUAGCUACCACUCUCAGAAAGACAAAAAAAAAAAAAAAAAAGACAGGACAGCGUACCCGGGGGGGGGGGGGGGGUGUGGACUGAAACAUCACGGGAUUAGAAGGGAAAAGUCAGUCUACGAAGACUUGGACUGACAACAGUCCAUGAUGAGCUAGCAUUGCUCCAAGAGGGAAUCAAACCAAAGAUUGACCCAAUUAUACGAAGACUUGGACUACCAAAGGCACACGCUAAAGCAUUGGCGGGUCUUCUUUUCCACGCUAGGAUCCGUCUUCCUUUUUUUUUUUUUUGCUAUAUUGCUUUAUUUCUUUUCAUUAUCAAUUUGCUUUUAUGAUAAGAUUUUCCUUGGAUCCUCAGGGACGUUUGAGGUCUCUAGUUAGUUAAUUAUUUUGAUAGUUGAUUGACUGGCGGCCACCGCUUGAUCAAGGAUUUUUUUCUUCUUUUUGGCCUAGCAGCACUUGAUAAGUAGGGCCUCUGAACAUUUUUCCAUGUCUGAAUCGUCUCCCAAAGAAAAGAUCAAGUGAGAUCAACGAAGGGGAGGCAAUGCUUGUUUUAUUCAUCAUUGGAUUGAUCAUAAUCCAGAUUGUGAAAAGCUUAUGAUAUCGUACAUAUCAACGCUUUAUGAGUGACUUUUAUUGGCUAAAAGACGGUCGAUAAUGCAACUUACCUUGGUUAUUGUUGAGUUAGUAUUGUGAAACUUCAGUUGUGAAGUAGCUAUUUUUUUUAUCACGAAACAUAAAAUUUUUAGUUAUCAGGCGAAAUGUGUAUACAUAUAGUUUUGCCUUGCAUCAAAAUAAAAUCAUUACAUUAAAAAUUGCAUUAUCUACCGCUCUCCAAAGAAAAUAAAUAAAUAAAAGAACAACAUACCGGUAAGGGCAAAGUCAAAGUCUACGAAAACUUGGACUACCAACGGUCCAUGAUGAACCAGCUUUGCUCAGGAAGGAAUCACAUCAAUGAUUCAUUCAUUUGGUGCUUUGUCCCUCACAUAUAGGCAUUCAUAAACGAGGAGAUUCUAUCAAAAAGAAGGGAAAAAAAUGUCAUUAGAUCACUUUGUCAAAUCCAACACCGAUUCAUCGUUCUCCCAUUCACCCGCAAAAUUUACAUGGCAAUAAAUCGAUUUCUAAUUUUCACAUUCAUUGAUAAUUUCAUUACAUGAUUUCCUCCUAUUCUAUAAUCUCAUAUGAGAUUUGAAAAUCAAAUAAAAACAACCUCUAAGGAUGUAUUUAUGUUGCUGAGAAUUUUUUUUGUGACGGGAAAAUGCUUUUAGCAAAUUCAGUUUUAGAGAAAGGGAACCAGAAAAUUUUGAUUAUGGUGAAAACAAGUUGAAAAAAAACUGAUUUUAUUGUUAUUGGUAAUAAGUGAAUCCACUAAAUGUAGCUUGUAUCAUUAAAAGUAACAUGGAAUGACUAAUAAACUAGAAUCGAUAUCUUCUUCAUUUAUUCUAUAAUCCAUCGAAAUAACAUUGAUUACAAAGAAAAUAAGAUAGAAAUUAUGAAAUCAUAUUUGUAAAAUAUUAGAUAUAAUCAUGCUUUGGGAAUGUAGAAACAUUGAGCAUCAAUAAAGUAUAUUCUUCUCACUUCAAAGCUUAGCAAGAAAACAAGGGUAAUGAUUCCUUCUUGCCAAGUCAUUUUUCUCUAAGCUUAUUGUUAUUAGGGUUAAUACUACAAAAAAUCUCAAACUAGUAUAUCUGUGAUAAAUUUAUCAAAAAUUAAUUUUUUGAUCACCAAAAACUCCAAAUUGGCAAAUUUGUGAUAAAUUUAUCAUUCAUUAGUUUCCAUUAACUUGAAUAUAUACUAAGAAAAAACACAAACCAGUGCACAUGUGAUAAAUAGAGAAUAAAAUCCCAAACCGAUAGAAUGAUCAAUUGUGAAAAUUUGAUGUAUGUUUUUGUUGAGUUGACUUUAAAUGAAUCCACCAUUUAUUUGGGAGGCAAAAGUCGAUUCUAAUCCCAAAAUUUUUGCAUCAUAUGGUCCAAUGAUUUUCCGCGUUAAGAAAUGUACAUAAUUGUCAACUUCGAUGGGCUGGAGCGAUGCUUCAAAGAGUCAUUCUUAUUGACCAAAUUUUGCAGCAAAUUGGCCCAUGACUCUCUCUGCAUAUUCAGCCAAUCCUGUGGCUUCUAUGUACAAUAACCUCCCCAAAAGUCAUUCAAAAAGAUCUUUCCUUUUUAUUUCAUUGAUAUUUCUCUGGUGAAGGAACAAAGAUCUUUGAUAGCUAAGGCCCGCAUCUCAUAUGAAAAGUCUCUCUUUUCCUUUAAAAAGAGAGGAGUUAAGGCAAUGGGAUCCUACCUAUUUUCUCUUCUUCCUGGAGCUUCUAAGCUGUAUCGGAGGAUGCUUAAUUUCAAUUUGAAUGCAAAGAAUUUUUUUUUUAAAAAAAAAUCUGCAACGAUACCUUUAAAGUUUCGUUUUACUAAAACAAAAGUUUAGUGGGGUUUAAUUAAAGUUAAAGCUAUCGGAGAACAAAUUUGAUCUAUGUUGGUCUCGAAUGGAUGAAUUUGAUAUUUCCCAAGAGUCUUUUUUGACUCAUUGAGUCAAUCGUGAUUAAUUGCUUCAAUUUUAACAUUUCCUUUUGUCAGAUUUGAAUGGACGUAUGAAAAGAUUUAAGGGCUUAUGAAUUUUGGAACCAAACAGUUUACACCUUUGGAUCUUGCAGGAUUUUAUUUUUGCUCCUUGGCUGCCCCGCCAUGUGUUUCCUCCAUGUCGUCCUUAUCAAAUACAAAUUAGUUCAUUUAGUCCACAUCGUACCCAUCGAAAUCUGAAGGUCUCGGUGGUGUUGGAGCAUUUGCAUCAAUCAUGCACUCCCCGGCAACUUUGAGGAGGUCAGCUUGUCAAUCACGUGGAAUGACCAUGGCCAUGGGCAUGGGUUAGGGUUUUGGAGGCGUGUGAGCAAAGAGCAGUGACAACGAGGGGAAAAUCAAGGAUUUGGAGCAAAGGAAGAAACGUGCGAAAAGGUCAAGGAAUGAUGGGGAAGGAGUUGUCGUGGGGUUUAAACGAAGUUUACCUAGAAGAGAAACUAAAUAAAAGGAAAGAUAAAAUUCUAAACCUGGCCAUGUUGAAUACUCUCGUCUCUUCAUCCAAAUAAAGAGAGACCCAUCAUAUGCUUUCUUCUCCCGAAAAAGAGUAAGACCAGAUGUGAAAUGCUAAAAUCAAGGUGGACAAAUGUGAGUCUCAAGCGCGAAGCGAAAAAGGAUAAAAAGCAAAGCAAUAAUUAUUCCGUCCCACUUUUCCUUUGAAGUUUAAAGUGUAGCCCGUUUCUUUUGCAAGAAAGACCGCGAGGUGAAUUAUCUCACUUCUCGGACCCUAAAAGUUGCUAAGUUCAGUUUUCUUUCGAAAGCUUAAACUUUGACUCUAAAAUUGCAAAGUUCAGAUUUUUAAGUUCAUCGCUGUCCAAGCAAGACACCAAUUCAUCUCAUAACAUAUUUUGAUGGGACAUAUUUUCGGUUACCAUAUAAGUUUGGGAUUUUGAUGAUAAAAGUACAAUUUGGAUAAUUGGUAAUAUGGUAAAUAUAAAGGUUAGGAUUUUUUAUGGAAUCACGCACUCAAUGUCGUCGAAUUUGCUGCCCACCCAUUGCCAUCACUAGCCCUCAACUUCAUGCAUCAAUCCACCGGCGAGUUAAUGCCUCGCCUGCUCUAGUGUGUCCUCUACACCUUCAUCUCUUUUUCUUUCCACGCAGAUCUCAUAACCUAUGUCCAUGGAACUCACGACUGGCAGAGGUCGCUAAUCUCACAUGGCCACAAAUAUGUGGUUGAAUGGCCAUGGCGUCAGGGCUUGACUUGGUUAAAUCGCUUGAUUUUUUUAGGAACGGAGAGAGGCCCUCGUCUCCAUUGAUCAUUAAAAUCAAUACCCAAAAAGAAAAGGAUAAAUAUAUUCCUCGCCAAGAGGGCAUUUGGGUAUUUUAGCAGCAGCAAAAAGACCAAACGCAAUUGAUAGGGGAGAGAGGCGAAGAGCAGGCAGAAAAGGAUAGGUGGCCGUGAUUCUGGUGGAUGGAAAGUAGAGCUAUCAACCGUCGGUGGUCACAUGACUCACAUGAGGGGACUGAUGAUAUCGGGUGUAGUGAAGCGGGAGCCAAUUAAUAGGAAGAAGAUGCUAAAUCAAUCCGGGGUCAUUCGAUGGAUGAGAUGGACUCUAUGGAGAAUUCACACAAUCCAUCCGUGCAUGAGUCGUGUUCACAUGCCUCGGUGCGUGAGCGGCCAAGAUUUGCUUGAAGAAGAGGAAGUGAAGAGAGGUGUAAUCCAGUCCACAUGCCGCAUUUGAUAGGGCAACCCCGAAAUGAUGGAUUUUCAGCCUGCACGUCCCCAUUGAAAUUGCCAUAUUUUCCAAAACUUCUGUUGCAUUUUUCAGGUUUGGAGAGCACGUAAAACGGAAGGAAGUGUUUUCCCCAAAACAGCCUCGAUACUUUUUCCCCGACUCGGACAUGCCCCUGUCCCAAAAGUGACACUACAAUUAUGUACAAGCAAAGCUGUGAGUGAGACCUGUGCCCUGUCAUUCCUAUAAAUUUGUGGGCAAUGUCGUGGGCAUUUUAUCGCGACAUGGUGUUGUUGGGUAAUUUAAAGGAAGAAGGAAGAUGCAAUGGACAUCGUGCGGUUCCCUUUCAGGGUGAAAGCAAACUCUACAACGACUAUAUUAUUAAAAUACGAACUGGCCCCCGACUCUCAACAUGGUUAGCCAAUCUUGUCUUCUACGUUUAAUGACCCACGGAGAUCUCCAUUUGUAAUUGUGGCUUCUAAAAGUGAUUUUGAUUUCGCAAUAUGCUGUACUGAUUUUGCUGUUAUACAGUUCAAUUUUUUUUCCUCUAAGAGAAGAUCGAGAGAGAUCAAUGGAGAGGAGGCAAUGCUUCAUGCAUUCACCAUGGGACCGUCAUCCAGGCCGUGAAAAGCUUAUGAUAUUGUAUGGACCAACUCUUUAUGAAUAACUUUGAUUGUCUAAGGAAUGGUUGAUACAAGUUGAUUUUGGCUAUUUUGGUUUCUAUCAAUUCUAUAUCGUAAAACAUUAAUUGCGAAGUGGCUAUUUUCUAUCGUGAAAUAAGAAAUAUUUAGUAGCCUCGGAAUUAAUUUUGAAACUUGAAAAUUACUUGCAUAAGAAAUACCAUAUGUUUAGAAAAACUUUGAUCUUUAAAUAGUCUAGCCAAUCAUGUCAUCAAUCAAUGAAAAAGUUGAUAAUGUCUAAUUUAAUUGAAUGAAAAGAACAAAAGUGUUGUAUACAUAUAGUUUUGCCUUGCAUCGAAAUACUAUCAUUAGAUUUAAAAUCGCAUUAGCUACCACUUUGAGAGGAGAGAAGACAGAACAACGAACGGGGUGGUGCGAAGACUGAAACAUCACGGGAUUCGAAGGGCAAAGUCAAAGUCAACAAAGAGUUGGACUACGAACAGUCCAUGAUUAACCAGCUUGCUUAAGAAGGAAUCACACCAAUGAUUCAUUUAUUUAGUACUUUUUGCCUCUCGGUUAGACUUCCAUAAUGUAGAGAUUUUAUUAAAAAAAUAUGUCACCAAGAUCACUCUGUAAGAUCCAACACUGAUUCAUGGUUCUCUCAUUCACCCCCCAAAAAUCACAUGAUAACAAAUCGAUGUUCAAUUCCCCUAUCCAUUGAUGAUUCUAUCUUACAAUUUCCUUCCAUUGAAUAAUAUCAUAUGAAAACAAACUUUUAGGUUGUGCUUAUCUCGGUGAGAAUUUUUUUUUUUUUGAAGUAGGAAAAUGUUCUAGGAAAUUCAAUCUAAAAAAAAAAGUAAACCAAAAAAAAAAUUUGAUUGUGCUGAAAACAAGUUGAAGAAAUUGAUUUUAUCAUAAAUUAUAAUAAGUGAAUUCAUUAAAUGUGGCUUGUAUAGUUAAAAGUAACAUGUAAUGACAAAUAAACUGGAUAUGACAUCAUCGUCGUUUAUUCUAUAAUCCAUCAAAAUAACAACGAUUACAAAGAAAUUAGGAUAGAUAUCCGGGAAAAUAAUUCUUCUUUCUAAGUCAUUUUUCUCUAAGCUUAUUUAUUACUUUUAGCCCAUGGUAAACAUUUUUAUGGAUCGAAUAGCUUUACGUGAUUCAAACAUUGGAAAUUACAGAAACAAAUUUCCAAAUAUGAUUUUUUUUUCCAUCAAACUAAGAAGGAAGAUCUUGAGGGGCAAUUCCUUUUCUUUUUUUUUUUUUUUUUUUUUUUCAUUUUUUGAGAAAAGUACUACCCUCCGGAACAAAGUUGUAUGAGUGUCUACACGACAACGUUGUUGAUGAAUCCAAACCAAAAAAAGAAGACGUUGAUAAAUGUCAAAUUUGUACGCCGAUAGACCAUAUAAUUGAUGCCAAUAAAGAAAUCCAAAGUGAACAAUCAUAUCCCUUCAUAUUCUUUCUUGUCCCGAAAAGGAGAAGAACAAAAGUGAAAUGCCGAAAAGAAGGUUGACAACAUAAGUUCUCAAGCGCAUAGAGAAAAAGGAAAAAGCAAAACAAGAAUAUAUUCCAUCCCACUUUUGGUAAAGUUAAUAUUCCAUUUUCACGAAUGAUAAUUAUUAUUUAUAUUACUGGAAGUAAUUAAUUAAUGAAGACUGAAACAUCACUGGAUUAGAAGGGCAAAGUCAAAGUCUACAAAGACUUGGACUACCAACCGUCCAUGAUGAACCAACUUUGCUCCGAGAAGUAUUCACACCCAUAAAUGAGCCAAGUCUCCGAAGACUUGGACGACCAAAGGCAAUGCUAUUGGCGGGUCUUCUUUUCCACGUUAGGAUUGAACCAUCUUCUUUUUCUUUUCUUUUAUCGCUUUUUUCUUUUCAUUAUCACUUUGCUUUUUUGACGAGAUUUUCCUUGGAUUCUCGCCGUGAAUGAUGGCUGUGGUUCCGGUGGGUCGAUUACCUUGAUAGUUGAUUGGUAAGCGGCCACCAUUUGAUCAAUAAUUCCUUCUUUUUUUUUUUUUUUGCACAGCAGCACUACUCUUUGAGGAUACAGAUGAGUUGGGGCUUCUAUAAGUGGGCAAGAGCCUCAACCCCGAACACAAAAGGCACCGCUACUGCUCGCACCACUCCGUCCACCAACCUUCCGGCGGAUUCACGACAGACACAAGUGAUCGAGCCUCCAGUAGCUCCAGGUUCGUAGGUACCGUCUAUGUUUAUCUUUAGUGUUUCAGCCUGCGGUGGGUUCCAAAAUCGUGACGAUCCGUCGCCGGUCUUACUAGAUUCGCUCGAUUUUGGGUUCCAUCUGUUGAAACUCUUCAACCUAGCUAAAGCGGCUCAAGCUCAUCUUCUGCAACGUCUGCUGAGAUUCCUUCUCAAGUCCUCUCUCUCUCUCUCUCUCUCUCUCUCUCUUUCGGUGGGCGUUGCGAGUUCUUGCUUUUUGUGUACACGAGUCUCGCUGUUUGUGGGUUCGCGGGUGAGAUCGAGUUUCGUGCUUGAGAUGGGUCGGAUUCUGCCGGCGUCGGGAGAGAUGGGUCGUCGGCGUUUAGGCGUUUGGUUUCCGUUUUUUCCGGUUGUUGCUCUGGUUUUAGCUGGUUCCGUGCAAUCUGAGCUCUUUGAGCUCGAGAGGUCGUGCCCCCUCCUCCGUCUUCCUGUGCUCUCGCCCCCCGCGAGAAUUUUGCUUGAGCUGUGGUUUGAGAUCUUGGUUAGGCUUGAGUGAGAAAAGUAGGGAGAGCUGUCGAAACAGAAAGAAAGAAAAUAGAGGAACCCCGAUGCGGGAUGACACGAGUGCGAUUAAAUUUGAGUCGAACGCUACUUAGUGCAUUGCGACGUUGUUUUCUGGAAUUCGAGCUAACUUUAGUUUGGAACUGAUGAUUGACGCGGCGACGGUGACAGGAUAUGACUUGCGGCCCAUUCGGAGGCUUUGAGAAGUUUGCAGAUUGUGGGAAGAUUAGCAGGAACUAAUGAUUAUUUUAGAAAUUAUACAACCGCCUCCAAAAUAUGAGAGCUUUACCUCGUGCAUUGUCAACUUUGACAAGCUGGAGUGAUGCUGCAGUGAAUCAUUCUUAUUAAAUAAUUGUAGCACACUGGCCCACGACUCUAUGCAUAUUUAGCUAAUUCAGGCUACCAAGUUUAUUGACCUAUAGAGAUUUCCAUUUGUGAGUCAGGCUUCUAAACAUUUUCCAUCUCUGGCUGCCAUUGCUUUUGUUGAUAUGCUGUUUGGUAUUUCUUGAAGAUCAUGUAGAUGGAAAUCAUGCGGAAAAACAACGUACCUGUAAAAAUUGAUGGAAUAGCAGGGAGCGCUUCUUUUACUCACACUGCGACAGAAGGUCAAGGAAUGGCUAAUUCAUCAGGAUAUGAAUAUGAAGUAUUCUUGAGCUUCAGAGGAGAAGAUACUCGAACAGGUUUUACCGACUUCCUUUACACUAGUAUGAUAGAUGCGGGAAUCCGCGUCUAUAAGGAUGACGAAGAGCUCCGCAAGGGGGAAAAUUUUGGCCCGGAACUUCUCCGAGCAAUUAAUCAAUCGAAGAUCUCAAUACCUAUAUUUUCGAAAGGUUAUGCCUCUAGCGGAUGGUGUCUCAAGGAGCUAGUCCAGAUGGUCGAGUGCCAAAAAACUAGGGGACAAAAGAUUAUGCCCAUUUUUUAUGAUGUAGCACCUUCAGAGGUUCGACGCCAAAUUAAAGGUUAUGGAGAGGCCUUUCUUACACAUGAAAACAAGAAGCGAUAUGACAAAGAGACUAUGUGUAAGUGGAAGGCUGCUCUCACCACAGUUGGAGAACUAGAUGGAUGGGACUUGCAAAAAAUGGCCAACAGGUAAUUGCCUCUAUCAUUCCAUUUGAUGUGCCUUGUCCCAUUAAAACUUGAUAUGUUUCACUGUUGAAAUUGGAUUUUAUGCUAUUGAAACUUUACCGCAUAAAUCACUCGAAAUAAUGGGACAAUCCCCAUUUUGUCCUUUUUCAUUGCAAACAAUUUUUAUUUUAUUUUAUCUUAUUUUCAGUUAAGGUCAUUCGUUAAUCAUAUGUGCCAAUGCUAAUUCAUUUACAAUGAAGUAAAUCCUUGUAGAAAGCAUUACGAAUAGGUCUUUAGUUUUCACUUUGGUCUUGUUAGAACAUAACUUGGUUCAACACAGUUUUCUAACUCAUUGCCAUUUGACCUCCAACAAACACUAGGAAAGAAGGUGAGAUGGCAAAAAUAAUUACCCAGAAGGUUUUCAAUGAAUUGAAAAAGGCUUAUUUGGUGGUAUCAAACAACUUGGUUGGUGUGGACAGUCAUGUGGAUAAAAUCAUGGAAGAGAUAGGUGCUCAUAUAAAUGAAACGUGGAUCGUAGAAAUUCAUGGGAUGGGUGGCGUUGGAAAGACAACAAUUGCCAAAAUCAUAUACAAUGAGCUUUCCAACAAGUACAACAAUUGUUGCUUCCUUUCCAACAUCCAUGAAACGUCAAAGCUCAGGGGCAUUGAGUACUUGCAGCAGCAGCUCAUCUUCGACAUCCUCAAGAUGAAAGGGACGGAUAUAAGAAACAUUGAUGAAGGGAUUAAGACCAUUAAAGAAAGGUUGCCUAAUAAAAAAGUCCUCCUUCUUCUUGAUGAUGUUGAAGAAAAGGAUCAUAUUGAUGCACUUGUCGGUAAGCGUGAUUGGUUUGGUGAAGGGAGCAAACUUAUUGUUACUACAAGAAGGAAAGAUGUUCUCUGUGUUUUGGAAGUGGACUGGAGGUAUGAGCUUACGUGCUUGGAUCCGAAUCUAUCUCUUCAACUUUUCAGCAGACAUGCCUUUAGAAGAGAUUCUCCUUUAGACGAGUAUAUCAACCAAUCCAAAAGGGCGAUACACAUUGCUGGAGGUCUUCCAUUAACCCUUGAAGUCAUAGGUUCACUUUUAUCCAGCAAAAAUAAAGAAAUGUGGGAUGCCACAUUGAACUUGUUAGAAAGUGUUCCUCAUGAUAAAGUUCAGAAUAAGCUGAAAAUAAGUUAUGAUGCAUUAGAUUAUCGGCAUAAGCAUAUAUUCCUUGAUAUAGCUUGUCAUUUCAUUGGAUAUCGCAAAGACAUUGUGGUUAUUUUCUGGGAUGCAUCUGGACUUUUUUCGGAAGCAACCUUGGAAGUUUUGCAGAACAUGUCUUUGAUAAAAAUUGAAAAAGAUAAUAAAUUGUGGAUGCAUGAUCAACUUAGAGACCUCGGAAGAGAAAUGGUUCGUCAAGAAAGUAAGAUGAAAAUUGUGAAGCAACGUUGGGUGUGGAAUCCCAAGGAAGGAUCGGAUCUGCUGAAGAGCCAUGAGGUAAAAUUCCCUAUAAAAAUAAAUCUCCAAGUUACUUAUGGACAUUUUCUUUUCAAAAGGAAGCAAUUAUUUUUUGUAUUCUCUAGCACCGUCGCGACCUAAUCUCUUUUAAGAUUAAAGGAAUAUAAGUACUCAACUCAACCCCUUAAAAUUUUUCCUUUGGACAGAUGAAGAAAAAAGUUGAAGCUCUUCAUUUCAAGGUUGACGAUCAGCACCAUUUUACCUAUGAGGACUUUAAGAACCUACCCAAUCUAACGUUCCUUAAAUUGGAGCAUCUUUGGCGCGAAAGGCCAUUAAAAUUUUUUUCAGCUAAUUUAUUCCAGAAAAAUUCAAAUCUCCUUCCAAAAUUACAAUGGCUUUCUUGGCAUAAUAUUCACCCAACAUUUGAGAUUACAAAUUUCUCCAUGGAUAAUUUGAUUAUCCUCGAUCUAUCUCAGAGUAAAAUUACUCAUGAUUGGAAGGGGUGGAGCCACAUGAAGGUAUGUUAUAUUCUAGACAACACUUAUUCUUUCGCCUUAUUAGAUUCAAAAGUAAACUUUGCAUGAUUUUUCUUUUACAGGUGAUUAAAAAUUUGAAAGUUCUAGAUCUGACCAAGUGCGAAUGCUUGAAGAUAACCCCCGACUUAUCUGCUCAUUCAAAAUUAGAAUGUUUGAUCCUAUUGGGUUGUUCUUCGUUAAUCGAAAUUGAUAGAUCAAUUUGUCAGUUGAAAUGCUUGGUUUUCUUAGAUGUAAGUGAUUGUCAGAGUCUUCAGAGGCUGCCAAAUGAGCUGGGAGAUCUUGCAAGCCUCAAAUACCUAUCUCUAAAUGGAUCCUUGUGUUUGAAGAGGCUUCCGGAGACAAUCGGGAAUUUGAAAUCGCUGAUUGAGUUGAACAUGAGUGGCGUGAGAAUCAAAGAACUACCCGAUUCCAUCAAAAAGUUGAAGAAUUUGAAAAUAGUGAAUAUGAAAUAUGUUGAGAUAAGCAAAAUACAUGAUAACUUUUGGACAAUAGAGAAGCUUGAAAUAACAGAACUCAUCUACUAUAAUUAUGAUGACAAGCACGUGGCAAUUGGUGAUUGCAUCUAUGAGAAUAAAUCCUUGACGAUCUUGAGAUUGUCAACGGCGGCGACAAUACACGCCCCACCAAGGCUCCCUGAAAGUCUUUUGGAAUUAGAACUGAAAUGGUUGAGGGAGGACACGUUUCCGGAUCUCUCAAAUCUCACUAACUUAAAGGUAUUGGAUCUGACCUUUGGCCCACCUAAUUGUGAUGGGAAAUCUGAUGGGCUUCUGGAAGAACCGAUACCACCGUGGAUUGGGAACUUAACCAAAUUGGAAUCUCUGAAAAUCUGCUUUCCCUGAUCGACUCAUUGACAGACCUCAGCCUCCCUCCUCAUCCGCGUCGCCUCCCGAGGCUUCCCUCAAAUUUAUCCUCCUUACUUCUCGAGGGUUGCGUCUCACUUUGCUCGAUGGAUCUAUCGAAUUUGAGGAAACUAUCGUCUCUCAACAUUUCGGGGUCUGCAGUUGCAGAGAUUGAAGGCCUUGGUUGUUUGGAGAACCUACGAGAUUUCCACCUUUGGUACGUCGGACAGCUGGUGAUGCUACCUGAUCUAAGCAAGUUAAACAAGCUAAGGAAUAUUGCAGUAUGGGGGUGCGGUAAUCUGGUUGAGAUUCAAGGCGAACUACCGCGGUUUUUGGAUUAUCUUUCAAUUGAUUACUGCGAUUCGUUACGGGAGUUCCCCGAUCUGUUCAGCUUACCCGAUCUGUUCAGCUUAAUGGGUAAGAAAGAUGUUUGUAUGCAUAUUUGCAUUCAGGUGUUUGAAUAUAAACGUAGACAUCGGUUGCUGGUUCGUGGCUUUAAACAGAUGCAGAUCCCUGAUCUAAGCAAUUGGAACAGACUAACAAUUCUUUCAGUAGUAUCUUGUCAUAAUCUGGUUGAGAUUCAAGGCAAACUACCCCAAUCUUUGGAAACAUUGUAUAUUAGCAGCUGUAAAUCUUUAAAGAAGUUGCCUGAGCUGUCAAGCUUGAAUAGACUGCGAGAGGUUACAAUAUUACGUUGUGGGAAAUUAGCAGUGGAGGAAAUUUCUCGGCUUUGCUCGGAGAAGUCAAUCAAAUUUGUGGGAGAAGAAGAUGAAGAAGACGAAUCUGUGGAAGAAGACGAUGAAGAAGACGAAUCUGAUGAAGAAGACGAUGAAGAAGAUGAAUAAGUGCACGUUGCACUUGGAAGCUUUUUGAUGCGCGACCACAAAUUGUUCCCUUGUGUUCAAACCUUAAACAAAUUGAGGUAAGUACCAAUGUUUUCCUUUUUUUGGCAAUCAAAUUCUUUCACAUAUAUGAACAGAGAAGUUUUGCAUGCACUUUUUAACGACCUUUUAGCGGAUUCUUGUCUGAAAAUCUGAUGAAGGUAUUUAAAUUAUGAUGCCUCCGAACAGCCAGAGGGCUCUUAAUUAUGUACGAGUAUUUGUGUUCUUUUCCUAGUUUGGUUUGGCUUUUUUAGCUACAUUUUCUUAGGAUGGUUUCUCCUAGAGGUAUGCAUGUCGAUUGCAUCAUUUUUAUUUGAUAUGUAACAAAUUAUUAGAGACCGUUGUUGAUUUGCUGCUUCACACAUAUUUUGAAAUUGAUAACCUCACUUCACAAGGGAGAUAAAUUCGCUAUGCCGUAAACAAAUAGAUGGAAUGUGUGUUGGAAGGUCAUACAAAUAUGGUUCUCAUUCUGGGACUUUACAGCACAAUCAACUCAUUGUUGCGACUUUGAAGUAGACAGACACUCUGUAUUGCCAUGCUUAAGUUCAGUUUAUUUUUCAGGAAACGUGUGCUUCUUAGUGCGAUUUGCAAAUGUUAUGGAGAAGUCAUAAAUGAGGGAGCCACCACAAUUCUGAGAUUACCAGUGUGGCAGCACUGGCUAAAGCAAUAGCACCAGAAUAUUUUAUCUCAGCAAUGAUGCCUUCAAUCAUAGCAAUCUUUGAUGGGCACACUGACAAAAAUCAUUCUGUGCAGCAAACGUCGCCUACAGGAGUAACUGAGAGAACGCAGCAUUCGCUGUACCAGUAGAGAAGGAGCGCCCUUUUGCUGAGACUUGAGAAUUGCACUCACUUACAAAAGAUUGGUAAGAAAAAGAGAGCACCUUCCCUUGGGGCUGCCUUCAGUAAUAGAACUGUGCAUUCUGAAGCAAUAUUGGCAUUGUUUCUGUCAUGAGAUCCACUCAAUUCCAGGAAAACACUGGCACUGCCACCAAAGUCGGUUAUGCGUCAUAUGCUACUCGCCACCUCAGAAGAACUUUCAUCAAGUAGUGGUGGCUCUUCCAUGUACACAAAACCUUUCAUAGAACCUAGCGAUCAUAAAAGAAGAGCUUUACACGAGCCAAGCGUCAAUUUGAGAAAUUCUUCCAUAUUCUUCGCAUGUACAAAAUCCAAAAGGAUUCCAAUCUGCCAUACUACUUUCAGUUGAGAAAGCAACUUGGGAUCCAUUUCUGGAGCCAAUGCCAGAGCCACGCGCAGCUCAACAUCAUUCACAUUUGCACAGGACAGAUCAUCAAGUGAAAAUCUGAAGCAGUGGCUGACUGUCUAUGGUUGUAGAAUCUCAAAAUUUUUAGUCAAGUUGAACUCUAUGAGCAUCAGGAGGAGCUUCUGCACACACAUUGGUAUCGGGGUCCUCAUCCUCAUUCAAGGUCAGUCAAAGAGGGAGAAAUUGCAUCUAGGAUAUGGAUUUCAAGCCUGGCAGCUUAUGCUCUAACUCUGGAGUUUUGAUUAGGAAAACGAACAUUGCAUCAAACGGAAUCUUGAGGGACAGAAAUCUGGCAUCACCAUCCUUGUUGGCCUUAUACAGAACAUCCAGACUCAGCAGAAUCCCACAGAUGAAUACGUCAGAGCUUUCAGGAAUCCAGUAUGACUCCUCUGUGAUGGACUCAACGCUUGCAUUUUGAGCCGGCAAUGCAGGUUCUAGGAACGGAUCAACGUUGUGCUCUGCUUUCCUUGUUCAAUCCUGAACUUCUCUUGGAUUGUGUUUGUAAUUAGUGUGCUGAAUUAUGCUUCGUGUGAAUGUGAACCAUCUAAGUUUUGCCUGUCCAGUGUUUGGUGAUCAUGUGCAAUUUGGUGUUUGAUGAAAUGAGCUAUGUGCUUGAGAUUGCGUGUGCUGGAUUGUCACCUUCGAAGCACUUGAAGCUAAAGCUGAAGCUGAAGCGCAAGGUCUAUUGCAAUGGCUUCCUCUCUCUCCGCACCCCCACAGGCAAGGUACCUUCGCUUUCACUACUAAUCUCUACCACUGAUGUCCAGCUCAACCCGAUCAGCAAUUUAGUUGCCUUUGAUUGGGCUAGGACAUGAUUCAGUUUGAUUGGCUAAUCUAUGUCAAAAUGGCAGUGGCUGUUAAAUUAUUACUGUUUUCUCCCAAAUUUAGCUUGCUCGAUCGAACUGAACAGCGGCAGCUUGAUGCUGCUUACGAUUUCAUUUUUUCUAUCAUCACGGAUUGUUCUAUUUUGUGCUUCUGGUUGUAAUACUCGCCGUGAUUGAGCUUGUUUUGAGUAGAUUAGUCCAUGCUGUGAUUGAUGGUUGGAUAAUGCCGUAUCAUGGCAGCGAGCAGCUGUUGGAAUGCAGGAUUUUGAAGAAUGAUGAAGUUAUUUGUUCCGGUGAGUCACUGAUUUCAAUGCUUAUUUGGUUGAUGUUGGAGAGCCUGGAGGAGGACAAAAGCCUCUAGAUGAUACUUAUAUUCACAGCCUGAUUAUUAUUUGGCAAUUGGAUUUAUAAGUUCCCUCUGCCGAGGGUAUUCCUUGCUUGUUUUCUUCAUAGUUGUUUUGUUGGUUCAAAUCAUCAGUAGGUGCAAUGUGAUGAAUGUGAAGUUCUUGGGUUUGGUUUGUUAAAAGUCCAAAUGGGUAUAUUUUACUUAUUGUUUGUCUUGGAAAAAAGAGCGUUGCUUGCAUACAAAUACGCGUAGACCCUACUUUGUGAUGCUUUGCUUGUUGCUUGUGUGGGAAAUUAAAUAUUUGUUCUUUUCCUUGCUUCAAACAGCUACUUGGGUAUGGUUCAUGUAUUGAUUGAUUUAGAAUCUAGAUGUAAACAUUUGCAAUUGAUCUACUGUUGCUUUUGUUCAAUGCAACUGAUCUUUUGAAACUCCAUUUUUUUCGUUAAAGUUUUUCCUUUUGUUAACCUUACUUUCAAUUGAUGCAGAGCUUUGGUUGAGUUUUUGGAUAUGAGGUUCAGUAUAAUCCCCUCUAUGAAUUACGAGGUGUGUUUUCCUUUUAGCUACUUAAAUCCUUUGGCAUGGAAUCUACAGUUGUAUUGCCUACAUAACUUUUCAUUUUCUGCAGAUGCUCCUAAUUCCUCAGAAACCGAAAAAGAAACACUGGUUAUUUUAGAAGAAACUGGUCGCUUAUGAUGUUGCAACCUGCCGGAAAUGGGAACCAAAUUGAUACCGUCCCUAUACCCUACAUAUAUAGAUUCUACAUCCCAAAUAGCACAGCUUGCUUUACAAUGCCUCCAAAUGACUCCUAACGAGCAGCCUUCGAGAUCUAAAGUCGUGGAAGAACUGGAAUCAGUAGACACUGGCAUCGCUAAUAGAAUAGAAGGGGAUAGUUAAAUUCACUUAUUAUGUCAUUCUUACUUUAUGUGAUGUAAGUCAAAGUCUGUUGUUCCACACUUUUCCAUUUUCCCGGGAACAAUCCCGGGCUUUGAAUGUUCAUUUCUAUUGUACCCAGCAGUUACUAGGAGUUGUCUUCUCUUGUAAGUUCUUUGGAAUAUCCAUGACAUGUAUAUUAAUAAAUGCACCGCUUUGUGAAUUGAGAUGUGAUUGUACUUAUGUUUAUGAGAGGAACAGUUCUUUAAGGCUAAUCCUCGAUCUUGUUGGCAAUCUGAGGUCCACAGAAGAAGUCCGUUGCUCUUCAAGAGCCCGAGCUCUUUAAUUUUCUUACAUGCUUGGGCUUUGAACAUGCGCAAAAGGUCAUUUUGGUUGCCAUUACGAAUGUGUUUAUGUGGUGCUUGCUCUGCAAUCAAUCUCCAGGAAGUGCUAGGCGGUUCAGUCCAUUCUCAUGGUAUUUUUGAGCUAUGAGACAUGGUUGGGGAAAUUGAUGGGAGUCAUUUAAGGCAAAGUGCUGCUCAGUUGUCCAUUCAGAAAGAGCAAGAUAUGACUUUUGGUGCUGUCAUGUUGCAGCUAAGACAUGUCUGAUUGUUUUGUGCUAAUAAGAGACAUUUCUUAUCAUAUGCCAGUUUUAGAUAAAACUUUUCAUGUGACAUCAUAAAAGACUAAAUUUUAUUUUGGGUUAAUACCCUGAAAAACCCCAAACUGGUACACAUGUGACAAAUUUAUCCAAAACUAUUUUUUUGAUCAUAAAAAACCCCAAAUUGGUACAUCCGUGACAAAUUUACCCCGACUAACUAUAAAAAAAAAAAACCCUAAACUGGUAUAUUUAUGACAAAUUUACCCCAAACUAAUUUAUUCGGCCGCAAAAAACUCAAAAAUGAUAAAUUUGUGACAAAUAUACCCUCGCUAAAUUGGAUUAAUACUACAAAAAAAAUCACAAAAAUUGUAAACUGUGAUAAAUGGAGCAUAAAAUCUUAAAUUGGUAUACCAGUUAAUUGUCACGUGUCAUUUAACUUAAUAAUUUAACAUUAAAAUUUAACGAAAACUAAUAGAGGGUAAAUUUGUCACAAGUGUACCAGUUUGGGGUAAAUUUGUCAAAGGUAUACCUGUUUUGGGUUUUUGGUGGUCAAAAAAAUAGUUUGGGGUAAAUUUGUCACAAGUGUACCAGUUUGAGGUUUUUCAGGGUAUUAAUCCUUUUAUUUUUAUAUUCUCAAAUUUAGAUAAGACUUUCCAUAUGACAUCAUAAAUUACUAAAUUUUAUUUUUAUAUUCUCAGUAACUUAGCCCAUUGGUUAUUGUACUUUCUUCACUAUUUGUAAAUCUAAGGGCCCUAUUAUUUUCGACACUUCUUAUGUAAUUUUUUUUUUUGAACUUGUUGAUAUGUCUCUUUUACAUCACUCUCAACGCGAAAAUAUAAAAGUUGCCAUCAUUUUGUUUUUUUUUUAAAUUUUAAACAAAUUAAAAAAAUAAAUUGAUUACACUAAAGAACUUUCCAAAUAUAUGUUUAUCAAAUAGUAAUUUCCCAAUGUUACUUCUCAAGUCAUUUUAAAUUGCAAAUUACUAAACAGUCUUUGCAUUUCACAGAACUCCUUUAGGCUAAGGGCCUUUACAUUAGCCAAAGGCGUUCCCCAAAAGUCAAAGCAAACACACCCAUAAAUGGGUACUUGAAAUUGAGCUUUAUGCAGACCUUUUUGCUUGAUUGUUGUUGCCCUGCUAUGUGACCUGCUGUUUUGUGUAAAUCAGCGAUAUAGUCGUCAUCAUCAUGGCUGAAGCGCUCUUGGAGAUCCGGCCUCAUGAAGUCAAGUUUAUCUGUGAGUGUAUAUAGUGCUGUGCGUUUGGUUCAUUUUUAUUUUGGAGCUACAUUCAAUUUGUGUUGCUUGCCUCCUGUUUUACUAGGCAAUAAGUGAAGGGGAUGAUAUUUCUUUGUUCUACAAUAAUUUGCUUGAGAAUUUGUGGUUCAACAUCAUAAAUAAUGGUAAAAGAAAUAUCUUAAAUAAGAGCUUCAAUGGCGAGUAUGAAUUGGUUAUUGGUCGCCCUGCUUUUCAAAUUCUUUUCCUAGUGUUGAAUUCUAAUUUUUGGUUAGGUUCUUUCUUUUUGCAUAGUUUCUAUUCUCGCACCACAAACUCUUAGAAUACCUUGUGAGGUGAAUUUCUUUCUGGAGAUAAAGUAAGUAAGUGAGUGUUGUAACCAAAUGACUGAGAAUGAUCGGUACAGAAAACCAACACGGAAAAUGAGAUUUCGUUGCUGCAUUAUGUCUUCAAAGAAAAUGUAUGAUGGUCCAUUUCAUCACAUCCUACUCUCAUGUUGUGCCCCGUUAAGUUCUUUUAUCUGAAGCCUCUUCUCCAUGUUUAUGCAGUUGAGCUGAGUAAACAAAGCUCAUGCUUGAUUCCGCAACAAGACUGAUCGGUAUGUUGCUUUCAAGGUGAGGAUUUUUUGCACCUUUUCAUUCACCAUGAUCGUGCUUUACUUUUUUUAAGGUGCGGUGGGCUAACAAUUUUCUUUCAAUCCUGUAUUCUCCUGAUGUAAUUUAAAUUUCAGAGUAGGACAUCAAUGCAUUAAAAGCUCUCUACUAUGGAGAAACAUUAUGAGCUUUAUACUGGAUAUCCAAAACAUUCCAGGUUAAGUCUACAUCUUUGAAGAAAUACUGUGUGCGGCCAAAUGUAGGCAUCAUCAACCCAAAUGGAGCAUCUGAUUCAAAAUUGUGCUGCUCAAGUCUGAGGAUCAUCAUGUUCACAUACUUAUUAAAGCCACUAACAUACUUGUGAGGAGGGACAUGCCUGCAGUACCUAAAUCAGCUAAAUAAUUAUUCUGCAAUUUUUUUGCCGUGACAUGUCAAUUGGACUGUAUUAUUGUUGGGUUACGAACUGCUUAAGGUAGAGUCAGUCUAAUUGUAGCAAGGAUCAUUUUUUAAUAAGAUUUUGAAUGCCUACCAUAGUAGCCUAAUAUACAUCGAGAUAAAUUAGUUUUUUGUGGGGAGAAUUACCCAAAAAGUCUUAAACCUAUUGUAAAUGUGUCAAUUCAGUCCUAAAUCUUUUUUCUGUCCAAUUUAGUUCUAAACCUUUUAUAAUUGCUUCCGUUGCUAAGGGUAUUGCUGCCCUAUCUAUCCCGUCUAACAUCGCUGCAGUUAUCGGUACUUGGGAUGAUCCACUCCCCACCCUUAACAACCAUGAUGACCGUCUGGUGUGGAUUGGCCACUCUUCAGGUCAGUUUUCUACUGCUUCUGCAUGGAGUAUGCUUCGAGCUAGAGGCUCCUUGGUUAAUUGGUCUCGAUUUAUUUGGAGUUCCACUCUUCCCCCACGCUAUCAGACCCAUCUAUGGCUCAUCACCCGGAAUAGAUUGCCAACCCAGGUCUUGCUUCUGUCGUAUGGGAGGAUCUCGGAUGGUUCCUGUGCCUUCUACUCAAGUAGGCCAGACUCAAUCGACCACUUAUACUUUGGUUGCUCAGUCACGGGUAGGAUGGUUUCGUUUUGGGCUCUAAAUUGUCACUUGAAUUGGCGAAAUGGUCCUUGGAAGGACAAUCUUCAGUGGGUGGUCAGCCACCUCUCGGACUCGUCUUUCCAUCACUCCAUUUCUCGCUUUGCAUUCGCUGCUAUGUGCUACCUUAUAUGGAAGGAGCGAAAUAAUAUAAUCUUUCGGAAUCAUACAUUAUUCCUGCCCGCCCUCAAAGAAAAUCUUCGGAAAGCUGUCAAAGAUAGAGUCUCCACUUUUUCAAGAAUCCCGGACAAUCCGUGUAAUCGAAGGAUCCAAAUGGCCUAGGGAAUCCAUCCUGCAAUCUUUGAAUAACUCUGUUAUUAAUCUCUGGCCCGUUACAUCAUUAUGCUCCUCUUUCGGUUGCCUUGGUGCCUCGGCUGCUUUUGGGUUCCCCCCCCCCCCCCCCCCCCCUGUUUAUCGUCUUGGCAGGUUGUGGCUCCCGGGCUCUUGGCUCUUGCCUGUUCCUUUCUCUUGGUCGUAUGUUUGGCCUUUUGUUGCUGGUGCUUCUUUUCUGCUUUGCAGCCCAUCCGCCUCCCGUCCACUCAGUUUGACGCUUGUGUCAGCUUGAGUGUAUGCUUGGAGGCGGUUGGUUGUUGUGCCUUUGUGUAACUCUUUGGUUCUAUAGCUAUAAUAUUCUUACCUCUUACCAAAAAAAAAAAAAACCUUUUAUAAUUGUGUCAAUUCAGUCCAUCCAGCCAAAAUUGACCGGCCUGCAUUGACGUGGAUGCCGGCGGGGGACAGCCGGCCAGCGAGGCCCCACCAGAUCUGGUGAGGUCAACCUCGCCGGCCAUUGGCGAGGGCGAGGCCUUGCUAGAUCCAGCAAGCUCGGCCCUUGCCAAGGCUGGGCGAGGCUGAGCCUCGCCAAAUCUAGCAGGGCCUCGCCUAGCCAUGGUGAGGGUCGACCUCACCAAUGGUCGGCGAGGCUGCCGUCACAGUGGAAAGAGCUUGGAGCUGCCCGUACGAGACAUUCUCCAAGCAAAUGCCGCCGCCUUGCACCUGAUCCCUGCCCUCCCCGACCGAAUUCACCCUCUCGAGGGCCACAAUGCCGAGCACCGAGGAGUGAGGGCAGUUCACGGCGCUCUUGAUGAUGGGAGGGAAGUUGCGGAUAAGGCAGCCUUGUCGCGGCUAUUGGCGAGGUCGACCCUCGCCUUGGCUGGGCGAGGCCCGGCCGGAUCUGGCGAGGGUCGAGCUCGUCGGAUCUAGUGGGGCCUCGCCCUCGUAGGCCCUCGCCUCCUACCGGCGGAGGUAAGCCUCAUUGGCCCUCGCCUCCUAUCAGCGGGGGUGAGCCUCAUUGGCCCUCGCCUCCUAUCAGCGGGGGUGAGCCUCACUGGCCCUCGCCUCUAGCUGGCGUCGUCCGACCAGAGGAAAGGGAAGAUGGGAAAAAAUAAAAAAAAAAUAAAAGAAUUUUAAAAUUUUAAAAUUCAAAAAAGAUAUAUAUAUAUAUAUAUAUAUAUAUAUAUAUAUAUAUAUAUAUAAAUUGCCUCACCGGUCGGCUGUCCUCCACCGACGUCCACGUCAGCGCCGACCGGCCAACUUUGGCCCGAUGGACUAAAUUGGACCAAAAACAGGUUUAGGACUAAAUUAAUAUAAUUGUAAUAGGUUUAAGACUUUUUUGGCAAUUCUCCCAUUUUUUGUGUUAGAAAACUCUCGAAAUAAUUUUUUUUUUUUAUACCUAGGAACCGUACAGACGGCAGGUAAAUCCUGGGGCGACGCUAGUAAAGGACCCAUCACCCCGACAUUCGCGCUUAAGAUCCUAUGCGUCUUGCGGGAUUCAAACUCCUGUGUCCUGGAUAGACGUCAUGGGAGCUCUUAUCUAGUUAGGCCACCGCAGUGGUUCAAAAUAGUAUAUUUGUAUUAUAUUUACCUCCAAAUUAAUUUUCGUGUGACUAGCCAAACGUAACUCAUGAGAUUAUCUCUUCGGCCCCGUCCCCGAACCAUGGGAAGAAAAAUACAGGAAUUUUGGAGAAAAAGAAUUACAGACUCCGAGAAGUUAUCAAAUGCGCCGUCGUUGUGGUGGUAGUCGGAGAUUAUCUCUUCGGAUAGGGCUGCCGGCGGGAGGAGAAGAGGCCGACGGGCGGCGGUGUGAGGCGGCGGAGCUCGGAGGCCUUCUCGAAGAGGCCCUUUGCGCCUCUUCGAGUACGCCCCGAUUCCCUCGGCCGAAGAGAUAAGCUCCGACUACUUCCGCGGCGGCGGCGGCGGCGGCGGCGGCGACGGCGACGUGGUGCCGCCGAUGGGUGUGACUGGAUUGAGGCUGAGUGGGAUUCUUGCGCAACGAAGGAGGACGUGGAGUCCCGGAUCGGCGAAGUAUGACGCCGUUCGUGAUUUCGUACGCAAAGAAAUUGGAAAGAUAUGGGAAGAAUUCGUCUUGCGAUGAUCGGUGCUGGUGGCGAUUCCGGAGCUGGGUUCGGUUGUAAUUGUGAAAUUUUGGCCGAUAGAGAGAUGGGUUCCGUUGUUGUGAGCUUUACAGUUUCUUGACUUUGCCGGAGAACUCGGCCAUCGGCGGUGGAAGCUCGGGAGAGGAGUCUGACGCUCUGUGAUCUUGAGGGCUAUGGAUAUGAUCCUGACCACUUUCUUACACUUGAAGAUUUGGAUGUUAUUCUGUGAUGUAAACUUGAAAUGCAUGUGAUUUUUCUUGUUAAACUUGAUGGUACAGAAUACAUGGGGUGGGUUGUGUUCAAAUUCGUCCCCUUUUGGAUGAGAAAAGCAUCAUUUAGUCAGUUGCUUCGUUGGUGAAGUUGGGGAUAGGAGGGAGAUUCAUGAUUUGUUGCUAGCUUGUGAAAGAGACGAGCUUUGAUUUAGACUGUCUUAUUAUGGCAAUGAAUUGACUGUCUCGGAUGAUGAAUGGCAAUGCCAGUGAAUGCAAAGCUUUCCACUGUCUGUGGAGUAUUAUUGCUUAUGAGAUCGGAUAGUUUAUGCGACUAAUCAUCUGUUCAUUGAUGAUUUCUUGUGGGAGAAACUUAGAAAAUGGUUUUGGAGAUAGUGGUUCAGAAGAGAGACGAGGAGCUUGUCAGUACUCUAAGGGGCUUCGAUGUGGAUGUCAGCAUGGUCCUUGAGGAUGUUACUGAGUAGUAUGUAUCUCUCUCUCUCUCCCCCUCUCAAAUUUACUUGUGCUUCAAGACGCUUCUUGCAUUACUUUGGGGUGAAGGGAAGCCAUUCCAUGUUCUUGACGUCAAUUUAUUAUCUGAAGGGGCAAAUGACCUUGAUUUGUAUGUAUUAGCAUUGGAAGUUAUCAUACCCGUGGUUUUUGAGGCCUCUCUGUCCUCAUUUUGAUCUAUGCUUCUAACUGAGAAUCGGUACUCGCACAAGCAUCUGCAAUUUGGCCUUGCUCAACAUCCAACGCCCCCCUUUUUUCCUGUCACUCCUCUUCUUAUUGACCUUCUUAAUAUAAACUGUGGGAGCUUCAUGCGAUCUUAAGAUUCUGUUUUCAUUCUUGCAUACAGUGAAAUCACUGCUGAAGCAUGAAGGGUAACAAAACUUGAUCAGAUUUUGCUUAACGGAAACAACAUAGCUAUUGUAAGAAACAACUUCUUCCUUCUGCUGGUAAUUAUAUGGCUCUAUGUUUUGAGCCCUUGCUUUGAUAAGGGCAUGGUCUUGCCUAAAGUUUUGGUAAUCUAUCAACUAGUAAGCAAUUGCCUUAACCAAACAGAAACAAUCCGCCGCUCAGCUGCUCAGAGAGAUUCCUUCUGAUAAGACUCAAAAUGCUUAGACAAUGUAUUGAUGAAUCAUUACUGGUCUUGAUUUUGUGGUAAAAAGGUCAUCAUCACCUAUUCUUCACAAUCUGGUCCUUUGUCUCAAUCAACCUUGUGUCCACCUCUUGAUAAAUAUAAAGCACAAGUGGUGUGGCAAUUAAGUUACUGAAAAGCUAGAAUUCUGCUUUCAAGUGCUUGAAGCACUUAAGUGAUGAUGCCUUCCUUUUUGUCUUAAUGCAGUUAGUCCCUGGUGUCUCCCCUGAUCCGGAAUGAGUUGGGUUCAUCCUCUAACUCCAGUGGCUGAUUAUGUAGUUACUUUUAGUUGUUGGAAGCCCCAUCAGCAACAUCAUUUGAUUUUAUAACCUCUUUUUAUGGGUUUAUGAAUCUGCACCUUAGUCAAUUGAGCUCUUAUUUGAUUGAGCCCAUGCGUGAAUGUCUGAUGCAAAUAGCUCAACAGAUGGUGCAUGAUCACAUCAUCCUAUUAUCCAAUAUCUAUGUUUUGCUCUACUAGAGGGUGUGACAAUGGUUGUCAUGCUUGGUGCAAAUUGUUCCUAGGUUUCAUCUUCCAGUGCAUUGUUAUUGAAGAACCUGUCUUGGCUUGUUUUAGAGUUCUACAGUUUUUGGCCGUUGACUGCACAAUGAUAUCUGUAUUUGCGCGCCGCAACCAUGCUAUCUUCUUGGUGGCCUGCUAUUUGACUACCCUCUCUGUUUUAUAGUACAUUCUCAACCUAAAUGCAGAAGGGUGUGUUCCCAAUAUCCACUUUGGAAAAGAUCAAAGAAUUCCACUUAUGUGCUUGUUGCUCUUUGCUUGAAAAAAUUCUACUUUAUUAUGCAGUAUGGUUCUGGUACCGAGACAUCAGGCCGAAGAUGUGCACUGUACUGCAUACAGCUAGAUGAAUAAUGGACGUAUUUUGCUCCAAGAGAUUUCAAUAUUCCACCCAAGUAGCUGUAGUUGCUGCACAUUGUGAAAAGAUCCACGCCCAAAGCGAACUCACUUGUUUUGACCAUGACUGGUUUUUUGUCGUUCAUGUUUUCAAGGCGGUUGGCUAUUUGGGUGGAGUGUUUUUUCCUGUUUUUGCGGUAGUGACAUUCAUCAGAGUUUUCUAGAGGAUUUCAGACUGCUGAAAGAGUGAGCUCAGAGCUCGUGAGGUGUGAUAUUGCUUGCAGACUUUGGUUAGAGCGACAAGAUCUAUAUAGGCUGGAAAUAAAGGUGCUGAAGAUUCACCAUAGGCCUCUUCUUUAUCGCUUGUUUUCAUGUAUAUUCACAACUGCAAACGAGCUUGACUUGAGGCAUGUAAAAUGAAGGGUAUAUGCUGAGAACUUUGUCUAGGCAUAGGUGCAUUUUUCUUAUUUGAAGCUUUAUUGGCCAUCGAAGCUCAUCAUCAUGAACAAGUUUGCAGUUUCAUUCCGAUUUUGAUUAGUUCAAACACAUGGUACGAGGUUCUUAUAAAAAUGCUAUGUGUCAGAAUUCCCGAAGUUGGAUCCAAAGUUAAAUAUAUAACAUGAUGUUUUUGUUCUGAGAUACUAAUAAUAAAAGACAGCUUGUUUUGAGUAUGUUGAUAUUUUCCUGUGACUGGUACGGUUCUUUUUCAUUCUUUCACCCAUUUCACCGUAACACAUGGUGCUACAACAAUUGUACCCUUAAAAAACAACGUAGGUUGGGUUGGGAAAGCAGUUAUAUUUCAGUAAUUGGAAGAUUAAUGUGUGACUAGUCAAACAGGGGAUUGUGAUUUUCCCUAGAUAUGAUGGAUACUCCUGAGGUGGUCAUAUAGUUAAUUUCAUUGUGGAGACCAAAUGGAAGAGGAAUUGAAUAUGCAAGGGAUGAGUGGGAGAAGAAUUAACCAAUUCAAUCAGGAGUGACUUCAGGCUAUAUGAUGUUUCCUUGAUUAGUUUCUUAUUCACAGAGUUAGUCUACACAAAAAGGCAGUUUGAUUUGUCUUCAAGCUAUUAUUCUAGUUGCAAUUUGAUUUAGCAAAUAAAAUGCAUACAUUGCAAUCAAUCCUACAUAAUUUAUUAUGACACAUCCUCCUGAAUCAAUGCCUCUGCUUGCUAAUUUGCAUUGCCAUUCUCCUAAAAAUCAUGAUAGGUCUGCUAGGGAAGGAGAUCAUCGCUUCUCACAAAUUUUUCAGUCCUUUAAUUCUUCUUGGAAUUGCAUUCCUUAUGAAAUGGAAAUCCUAGAUUCAAUGUUAAGACAAAGUUUCAUCCAAAAUUGGAUCGUGAUGUUCCAAAUGAAUCACGUUAGGUUAGUGAUGCUUGCUGAACAAUGUGUAAAAAUCACAAUGAUUAAAAAUGAAAAUUACUAGAUUUCAAUCUGGAGUAGUGAUUGAGAAAUCAAACUCUAACUCUCAACCUCUAUUCUGACCUUCUCAAUUAAAGUAUGGCUAGUAUGAAUGUCGAGACCUGAUUUUGUCGUUUUACUUCUCUUUUGGACAAAUUUAGAGAAUCACUUUAUGAUUAUGCAUUUAAAAGUGGUGUUGCGAGUAAGGUAUCGCAUUCACUUUAAAUUAAUUUUUUGUGUUGCAAAACUCCCAAAACAAUAUAUCCGUAUUACCUAUAUAUCCUCAAAUUAAUUUUGGUUUAACUAGCCUAACGGGAUUCACGAGAUUCUCUUCGGCUGUCCCCGAACCACGGGAAGAAAAAGACUGGAUUUUGGAGAAAGAGAAGAGGUUUUUAGAGCGAGACACACUUGCCAACCUACUUCAGACCCAAAAAAGAAAAAGCACACUUGCCGAUCUAAGUAAGUUAAAAGAGGACCAAAAUAUUAGGAAAUUCCGAAAAGUUUUCAGAUGCGCCGGCGCCGUGGAGGUAGUCGGAGAUUAUCUCUUCGGAUAGGGCCCGUCGGCGGCCGACAAGACGCCGACGGGACGACGGUGUGAGGUGGCGGAUUUCGGCGGCCUUCUUGAAGAGGCGCAAAGGACCUCUUCGGGUAGGCCACGAUUCCCUCGGCCGAAGAGAUAAUCUCUGACUACUUCCGCGGCCGCGGCGACGGCGACGGCGACGGCGACGUGGUGCCGCCGAUGGGUGUGACUGGAUUGAGG
This 49990-nucleotide long non-coding RNA is filed under the name Eucalyptus grandis. RNAcentral describes it as "long non-coding RNA (EGRA_LNC005129)". The record is from RNAcentral. Lineage: Eukaryota; Viridiplantae; Streptophyta; Magnoliopsida; Myrtales; Myrtaceae.